CUCAACAUAUGUGACACAAUGAUAAAGGAGUACCAUGGUCGCAAGGGCAGUGCCGACGAUGGGUUGCUGUCUUCUGAGCUGCCUUCCUGUGUGGAGAAAGUUGACAAACCUUUCAUCGACUGUUGGUUGGGCCUUCUUGCUAUGGAGGCGAAAAAGUUGUUAGAUGAAAAUUUUGCGGUGGGCAUGUUGGUCAAACUUAACUUUUGCCUUGCUAGCACCAUAUAGGGCCAAUGAUUCAUAAUUUGUUUUUUCUACAUGAAAUGGUGUUGUUGUAACAUCUAUUUACCUUCACUUGGAAUAAAAAUAAUGUUACUGUGUCAUCAAUUUUACUUUCACUUUCGCUUGUGAUAUAUGUGUAUGCAAAAAAGUUAAUUAGAAAGCUGUCUAGAAAAUAGCUAUCGCGCAGCUCCUCCAUGAGCACGCAUCGACGGGAGUGUGGGAGCCAGCCUCCACUCACUGAACCUAAGGGGAGGCAGUGGGAGUGCAACCGGAGGGCCAGGGGUGGGGUGGGAAGAGGAGGACGCCUUGGAUCUCCAGCACCAUGUCGUCCAGCCCUAGCUUGUGUUCUCUGAAUAAAUAAACAGUGGUGGUUAUGUUCCUGAAUUAAAACUUGUUGAUUUGCCGUGCGUUGCUCUGAAGAUCAGCUGUUCAACUGUUGGUCCGAUGGAAAUUUAUGAGGUGUAUUUUGUCAGUUUCAGGCCAAAAUCACAGGGCACGUCCUUUCCUUCCCAAUGAAUUUCUCUCUUCACUUCCCAAAUAAUUUGGCUGCACCCGUUUUUCGUUCCUGAGUGCUUGGUUUUCAGCCAUUCAAAUUUUUAACUUGUAAGAACUUCUCUGUCCUCACUAAGGGGAAACAACCAUUGUUGAAAUUGUAAACUUUUUGGUCACUUUACCGAACUUCGUUCUAAUGGGCGAACAACUUCUCAGUUAUCUUGCCCGAACAUUGCUCAAAUAGGUUACGUACUUCAUUGUUUACUUGCUCACACUUUUUUUUAACAUAAUUGAAGAAUUUCUCCGUAUCUUGAUUGUACACCGGAACUUUCUAUGGGUGUACAUCUAUAUCUAUAUAUCUAUACCUACCUACUAUUAAAGGAAGGAUUGUUUCUGCCCGUCCGUCGCGCUUUUUGCCAAAACAAAAACCUCGCACUUCCCCAAAAUGAAUCCGCGGUCCCGUUUAAGUGUGAGUAGAAAAAUGUUUUGUGUUUUGUAGAAACCCCCUGAGGUUUCGGUUAAUCAACCCAUGGUCCUAUUUUAAGUAAGAACAUAAAACAUUUUGAUUUUGCAGAAAAUCCCCUGAGGUUCAUCUAGAAAAUAAACUUUUUUUACAGAUACAAUUUUUUAAAAUAUUCAUAUAUUUUAAACUGUAUAUCCAAUUUUAACAUGUUAUAUAUGAAAAUUGGUUAGAAAAAUAUGUAGAAUUUGAAUAUGAAGUUUUCUUUACCCGUUAACCAUUUUUAGAUGCUGCUUAGGGACAGAUUCAACUGCUUUUAAAAAUAUUCACAUCUUUUAAACAUUAACUCUAGUUUUAACAUGUUCUAUAAAUAUAUAUGGAUUGGUUCAACACACUUCCAACAUCCAUUAGAUCUAUCCACACGUAGUUAAUUAUAUUUCUAAUUAAAAUUUACAUAGGUUUUGAUGACAAAUCAUCGGAUGACUAAUUGAAUCGGACAGCACAUACCACAAGGAGUACAUACUCUAGGAGUACUAACCCUAUAAACGGGUUUUGAUGGUGGUUCUAUUCUAUUAACACCCUUAAGACCUUAUUCUACUAACAAAACCACCUUAUUCUACUUGCACUCCGAACUAGCAAAGAUGAAAACAGAAUAAAAACCCGACCCUCCUACCACGACCAUCCACUUCCCCUGCGACCCACCAAUCUCCCACGAGAUCCACAAACCUACACCCCUACCACCGCGGCACCCCACACCACCACCACCUACCCGAGCCUGUUGCCCACAACCACCUGCCCAGCAGCCGGCGACCAUGGGAAAACCCCCGAUGACCACAACACCCCACCCACCCACCGCCAGCCCCCUUCCACAACACCAAAUGUGCCUCUCCUGCCCCGCCAUCCUCCCCCGCACACCACCGCCGCACAGGGCCGGAUGUCCGCUUGAUCUCAUGCGCCCAACCUACAAANNNNNNNNNNNNNNNNNNNNNNNNNNNNNNNNNNNNNNNNNNNNNNNNNNNNNNNNNNNNNNNNNNNNNNNNNNNNNNNNNNNNNNNNNNNNNNNNNNNNNNNNNNNNNNNNNNNNNNNNNNNNNNNNNNNNNNNNNNNNNNNNNNNNNNNNNNNNNNNNNNNNNNNNNNNNNNNNNNNNNNNNNNNNNNNNNNNNNNNNNNNNNNNNNNNNNNNNNNNNNNNNNNNNNNNNNNNNNNNNNNNNNNNNNNNNNNNNNNNNNNNNNNNNNNNNNNNNNNNNNNNNNNNNNNNNNNNNNNNNNNNNNNNNNNNNNNNNNNNNNNNNNNNNNNNNNNNNNNNNUCCCCCCCAGCUAUUUUCGGUCGCCGCCGCAAAUGGCCACCGUCGCGAGGUGCUGGCGUCCUUGCAUGCACCAGAUCAAGCCCCCGCAUCACCCCCUCCCUACUACGCCGCCGUGCCCGGCCUCCCCACCGGCAAGCAUAGCCUCUCCCACAACUGUGGCAUGUGCUUUACCUGCACUUUCCUUCUCGCCCUCAAGAUCGUUCUGCUCACCUUGACCACUUCACCCGGUGGUGGUCGACGAGUGAAGGGAAGUGUUGAACCAUGCACUCCGGAUCGAGCCGUACUGCAAAUCCGUAUCGGUUGACUUUUCUCAUACACAAUUUUUGUUUGCUGCAGCGCGGUUUGAAGUAGAGUGCAGUUCGGCUUUGGGUGUCGACAAAGUGCAGCUCUUCACCAGCGGCAUUCCUGUGUGCUAUGUAAAAUUUAGAGCAGUUCGCGUGUGUAAUUGUUUUUUUUUCAUUUUUGGCCGUUUGGUACUUGUAUGUAACUUAUGUUGGUGUAUGUUUACUCAGCUUUGAAAAUUAAACAGUAUGCUCUUUAUUCAUUUCAGUUCAUGACAUGGUUCACUCCUUCUUUUUUCGCUGUGCACUCGAUCGAUGCAGUGCAUUAUGCUCGACUCGACAGUCCUGAUGCGUUUAUAAAAAAAGGUUUGAAAAGACAAAAAUAUACAAAAUGAAUAAUGCAGACCACUAGCAUUGACCAUGUAAUCGAGACACAUUUACAGAAAAAGAUAGAAAAACUAUUGCAGUUCACCUCGAGUAGGAAAAGAUGCAAAAAAGUUUAUAAAAUAUAGUAAACUUUGUCCCACAUCAAAUUAGAAAAAUAAAACAAAAAAGGAACUAAAAAAGAUGUAGAAAAAAUAUCUAAAAACACAAAAAGCGAAAUACAAAAUGAUAUAGCAAAAAAAUGUUAGAAUUCACUCGCUCUCGUUCAUGAAGUCCAGAUAAGUUAGUAGAGAAUGUUAUUCAAAAAGAAAAAAAAUAAUGCAGUUCACAAGGCCUCGACCAUUCAAUCUAGAAGAGUUUACAUAAAAAGUUAGAGAAAAGAAAAAAGAACUCAUGCAGUUCGGUUUCAGUUUGUGUCAAGAUUCAUUUUUGCCUGAUGUGAACUGUCAAUCAACUGCAUAGCAGAUGCAGUUCAAUUUGACAUUAGGUGUAGUACACAUGGUGUCUGGCCGAAAAUAUACAAAAAUGCAAUUCAAGAUCGUCGUUUUUCUAAUAUUAAUUUUAAACUGUAGCAAACUAGGAAGAGUGCAUCCAUAACAAAAAGUUACAUGAAAAUUUUGCCUCUCGUUGAUAUCUUUCCAACGGUGUAUCAUUUGCGUCAUUCCAAUAAGCGAUUAUUUCUUUUUGCGAAACAAUGGUUACUGCUAAUCAAUGUGCAGUGCACCGUAUUUGAAAUUCAUUUAUUACCUUAAGGAUUCUCAAAAAGGGUACUACAUUGAAAAGUUUCACCUAUUCCAUAGCUUUCCAACGGCACCAGACUCGUUCCGACAAACAAUUGAAAAAAUUAUAGUGAAAACAGUACAAAAAAAUAUCGCAUGCAGUUUCACGUGUCGACAUUGUAGUGAUGUUUCCCGUCUAAUGCAGUUCAGUCCGUCAAUUUUGGGUCCACAAAAAACAGUGUCCGUUUUUCCGUCAAUUCGAAAUUUCUCUAAAACCGUAAGGAACUAGAGAGAGUGUUCUAUAAGAAAAAGUUGCCCCUCAAUGAUAUUUUCUCAGUAGCCAUUUGCAUCAUUCUGACAAGCGGUUUGUAAAAAACUAAUAAAAUUGCUCGCUGCCACUCAUUUAACUACUGAAUAGAAGAACAAGGCAGAAUAUGUCAGGUAUAUGACGACACACGACGGAGCGGGAGAACCAAUACCAGGGUGAAAUAAAUGGAACUAGAGAUGUUGGACGGUGGCUAAGAUGUCGUGACCAUCGAGGAGUUUUGUAGGAAAAUGCUUCUCGGGAUGGUGUGCGUGCGGCCCCGUCGGGCCGAAGCCCUAGCUCUGGCUGGACACAGGGGCGUCGGCGACGGAACUGUAGUCGAAGAUUGCCACAGAGUCAUCAGAGAUGGCACCAGCAAUGGAGGUUGACAUGAUGGAUAUUUAUGGCGGGAGAGAGAGAACACUAAGGGGGGCGGUGCUGGGCAGCGGCAUGGAGGGUUUAUAAUGGAGGCGGGUACCAGAGGAUACACAUAACAACCCUUGUAAACGACAACACUGACCGGCAAGAAACACGAAGGGUAAGAUUUAAUUGGUAAACUCAGACGGGUCAAAGAAUGCAGUCGACCAAUGGUAAAUAUUGGUCUAUUUUGACCCAGGAACACAAUAUCAGAUACGGGUCAUUUUCGGACUGAUCUAUGAUAAGCAUCAUCUGGAUCCCAAAAUGCUUAUCACUAACACACCCGAGGGGCCCAGUCGGUGAUAAUGCUCAUCACUGACGAGUGGUCAGUGGCCGGUCGGUGAUUAGGUGUCAGUGCUACAUGGAUCUUUAGUGGUCACUAUAACAAUUUUCAUAUGCACAUAUGGUCAUAGUUUAGUAUUAAAUGUUUAAGUAUAUGAAGUUCCCCCCAAACCUACAAGUACACAAUAGCAGGGCUGGGCCCAUAGGUGUGAAGAGAGUGCGGCCCGCACAGGGCCCAUAAUUUUUGGGGACCCAAAUUUUUAUAUAGGCCUAUGUAUAGUUCCUCCUGGGCCUCCAGCUCCAAGGGGCCCCCUUAUUUUGAAAACAACAGUAGAACCCAUUACGGAGAAAUGGGUCCAGUUGAAAGCACGCAACACUAUUAGCCCUUGAAGCAACCGGCCGCUCAAUCGCUCAAUGCUCCCAAAUCCCGAUCCAAUCUUCCCUACAAAAAUUCCUGUACAAUCCUUCGUCUUCUUGAGCACAAGUAACAAGCCUCCAGAUCUAGGCCGCGUCGACGUCUCUGCAGCGUUUGUGUCUCCUCGUCCGCUCUAUCCUUGGUUCUAGAUGGCAGCAGCCGAGCCCCAGGAAGGCAGAAGCUGUUUGAGUUUGGCAAAUAAUGGAACUCGUUUUCCAUCGGCCAAGGACCCAUGGCUUUGACCGUGAGUUCAACUAAUUUUAUCAUUUUCAUCUUUUGAGUUUCGCCUUUUGAUUUCCAAUACCUUUUGUAUACCGGCGUGGCCAUCGAUCGGUGUUCCAAGAUCGAGGUCACUAUUUCCUCGAGAGAACAUAAUCUUUGUCUUAUUAGUUGUCGCUCAAAUGGACUUACCGGAGGGAGUAUCUCAAAAAUGAUUAUGCAACCAAGUGUUGAAUGGAUGCGAUUUUUGAUCCAUCCCAUUGCUACGUCACACAAUAUGAUCUAUGCAUUAUUAUCAUUCUACUUUUCUACCGCGACAGGGCCCAUUUUAGAGUUUGGCACAGUGCCUCCGAUUUUGCCGGCCCGGCCGUGCACAAAAAUGUCGAAAUCAACUAGCGAAUAAAUCUGCAGUUAAACGACAGAGAGGACCGCAAAGCAACAUUUACAGUCUUCGCAACACUCAAUUCUAAAGAUGCACCCACGAAAACUAACAUACAUAACUUUUUUUUUUUGCGGGGAACAUAAACAAGUUAUUUGUUUCUUUUGCAACAGUAUGUCAGAGACGAAAAGGUAAUCGAGGGGAAUCAGGUGCAUUGACUGCACCUUUCUCUACGUCAGAAGUGCGCUCCGAAGUAUACUGAACCAGAUAGAAGUCAGUGAUGAAGGGCCACACCACCUAAGUGACCCAUCGUCCUGCUUCUCCAUGUCGGGUGUGAAGUUGUCCCGUGAUAAUACGUAGAGGUUCCACGUGAGCGCAGACAUUUUAAGUUUACAAAAUCACCUGAGUUGUUAGGUAAUUAUUGACGGUUAGGCCUAAUUCUUCCUUGAGUUCAUGCAAAGAAAUUAUUUAAGACUGGUUCUGUUACUAGCCCAUCCACACAUGGUUCUUCCUCUGGUGCACACCCCCCUGUGAGCACGCCUACCAUGCAGAAGAAAAUUGCCGAGAUGAAUAAAAGGGAAAUGAUGGCAUAAUUUGGGAACAUAAAACAAUCCGGUGAAUGGUGUGCCAAGGAGCAGCUCCUGCUAGCAAGAUGCAAGGCGGGCAAGCGCAACAGAAACAAGAUGCAAAACAUAGGCUUGUUUGGUUGAUCAUAGCAACCAGGUGUUGGCUCUCCUUUCCCUUUGAAUAGAGCUCACACAAAAGAUAUGCGAGUUGAGAAAAUUAUUGGAUCCAAACCUGAAAGGUCGAACAUGAUACACUAAGGAGAAACUAAAUGAUAUAUGGGUCAUAUAUGUGACAAAGAGAGAAAAAAUGUGCUUUGUCUAAGUGAUAAUGUUAUUUCAGCAACAAAUUUAUGGGAGAAAAGGAGGAAAGUUUUGCUAUUUACACAAUUGAACUAUUAAAAAAAUCAAUAAUUACGAGCUCUUUGUCAAAUCCUAAUUGGAAUUUCCCAUCAUCCUCGAUUAUUAUAGAAAGCUCUUCUCGACUAUACCUGGCCAUUCCUCGGGCUGGGCCAGGCAUCGGGCCGGGCCUAUCCAAGCCCGAUGCAGAAAACCCAGGCCCGGGCCCGGCCUGGCCAGGGCAUCGGUCCUAAAAAUCAGGCCCAAGCCUGGCCCGCCAGUGUAAAAGCCCGCCAGGCCUUGGGCCGGGCCUCUUUGUUAAAUCGCAAAUAUGGCAGGCCCGGGCCCAGCCUGGCCCAGCCUUCGGGCUCAAAAGCUAGGACUAGGCCCGACCCAUGGGCAAGGCUGGGUCGGGUCGGGCCGUUCGGGCGGGGCUGCCCAUGGCCAGGUAUAUUCCCCGCGUCCCCGACAGCUUAACCUGCUCACUGGGGCGACAACUUUGCACGUGUACCUCAAGCCCUCUUUUAUUUCUGAGGACCAUAUGGCAGACCUAACAAAAUAGUAGGUAGUUCCAUGUAGAGUGGGAGGAAAAACAACUGAGCCCAAUGUAAAAAAAAACAAUUUGGCCCACUGAGGUUAGAUUAUGUAACCCUUAUGUACUGCAAAUAUCACGAUACCUUAAUACAUUGAGCAUGAUAACUUAAUGAGUAGUUUGGGCCGCCUAUGGAACAAGAUAAUCCCAUCCAGAUCUGUUCAAGGACUUUAGACUUUCCUUUGUAAUGUUUCCCAAUCAUAGAUUAUUAGGCUCAGUAAUCCACAUCUUCCUUUAUAUUUGAAAGGAAACAAACAACCCCCAAUAAAACCGCGGAAAUGUUAACGCCCACACGUGUGGGCGUUUGCAUCUCGCCCACACGGGAGGGGCUGGUGUGUGGGUGAGAUGCAGUUCGCCCACAUGCCAGUUUGCACGCACACACAAGGGCUAGUGUGUGGGCAUUUGCCAUCUCGCCCACACGCCCGUCUCCUCUCCCACACCCAAGCUGCUAGUUGCCAUGUGUUUUGCAGUGCACAUGGCAACUGCCCCUAGUGUACUUUAUAAGAAGGUGGCAACUCUUUUUUUACCUGAGUUGUCAUGUGUUUUGCAGGGUACACGACAACUGCCUAGUGUGCACGUAAGCAGAUGGCAACUCUCUUUUACCGAGUUGCCAUCUGUUUUUGCAUGGUACAUGGCAAUUGUCCUAACGUGCACAUACAUGGCAACUGCCCUAACGCGCACGUAAGCAGAUGGCAACUCUUCCUUUUACAUGGCAACUGCCGUAGCAUGCUUGUGAGCACAUGGCAACCCUCUCAACUUCCUAGUGUUAGUAUGUGGCAACUUCUAAAGUUUUGAAAUCAUGGCAACUACAUUAGACCAGGCCAUACAUGGCAACUGCAGUUGAGCAACCAUGGCAACUGCAGUUGUCCGACAUGAUCUACAUAUCCGUAUCGCCAUGCUUGCCUUCCACGCCAAGGAAAGUCCCAUCCGGACACGGGACGAAGUCUUCAAUCUUCUAUCUUCAUAGUCUUGGAGUCCGGCCGAUGAUGAUAGUUCGGCUGUCCGGACACCCCCUAGUCCGGGACUCCCUCAGUAGCCCCUGAACCAGGCUUCAAUGACGACGAGUCCGACGCGUAUAUUGUCUUCGGCGUUUGCAAGGCGGGUUCUCCUCCAUAUUCCAUGUGUUUGCCGAAUAGUGUCCGGCUUCCUCAUAAAUGUUGCGCUCCUUGGCUUCUACGUCCAAUAAUGGCCUUCUUCCACGUGUCGUAUGAAUGCGAAAAGCCAGGGUAUUUUUACGUUUUACCCCCUAGCUGCGCGAAUAAGCUGCCCAUAAGAGAGGCGAGGAUCCAGAUCCGAAUCACACCAUCCUCCUUCCGCGAGUACUCAUCGAAGCGCAUCUGACAAAAAUCCAUUCCAACAUGGACAGUCGACGCGGCUCCUCCUCUCGCGCUCCCAACCCUCAGCCAGGAGAUUGGAGGAGAUGUUCAGUCCCGCAUAGCGAGUUAGUGACGCUCCAAGCAGAGGGAUACCUUCCCCCAGCCUUUAUGGUUCCGGUUCGAGCCGGACUGGCCACCUACAAGGGUGGGAAGCAGGUGGAGAGCGUCCCCAAUCCCUCCAAAGGAGAGCGGGUAUGCUUUGUCCCUUACCUAAUAAGGGGACUCGGAUUUCCCAUACAUCCGUUUCUCUGGGGGCUCCUGGAGUUCUAUGGACUCCAACUUCACCACCUCAUGCAUGCCUCCAUUUUGCACAUAGCGGGCUUUGUAGCUCUUUGCGAGCUAUUUUUGGGCAUCGAGCCCCAUUUUGCGCUGUGGAAGAGAUUGUUUUGCGUCGUACCCCGUUCUCACGAGGGGUCGAUAUAUCAAGUGGGUGGAGCCGAAAUAUGGCGCAUCGCCGGGACCGGAUAUCUAUCCGGAACCCCGAAGAAGGUGUCCGAAGACUGGCCUUCGGAAUGGUUCUAGAUGGAAGACGCCCCGCUGCCGGAUCCAGUUCGGAUCGGCCUCCCGGAGUUUAGCAACGCUCCUCUAAAGAAACGCCUGAGUUGGCGCCCGCGGAGCCCUCAACGGGAAGAUGAUAAGAGCGUCCAAUAUCUGAUGGGCCGGAUAAGGUUACUGGCCCAUUCCGGAUUGACCAUGAUUGGAGUCAUGGCCACAUGCAUUAUACGAGCGGUGCAACCGCUCCAAUAUAGGGCCACCCCAUGUGGGAUUUCAACGGGGAGAAUGACGCCACCCGUCAUGGCCGCAAGGGGCCGGGAUCGAUCGCCGAUCUGGUGAAGAUCUUGUCCGGCUUGUACAACGGGGAGAAGGAGGACUUCCUCCGCACGAGUCCAUUGAAUGGAUUCUCCAUGAAUAACCCUCGGAGCUGGGUAAGCGGAUGUCUAUAUAUCCGAUCCGUGCUUUCAAAGUUUAAGCGUCUUACUUUAUGAUUUCGACGCAGGAACUGUGCUGGGAUGUGGAGGGCAUAGAAAGCCCGACUCCACAACCCGAGGAUCUGGGAAGAUCCCUUGAUCCGGCCUCCGAAGAGGAUCCGGACAUAGAGGUGGAGCUGAUUGACGGGGUGUUCCACCAACUCAGCAUAGACAAUGCCCUAGUCGCCAUUACGGCAGACUACCCCGGUUUAUCUCCGGCUUCCCAGGUGAGUACGACCGAGGUCCUGACACCAGCACCUUUUUUAAUGCCCAUUCCUGACCACCGUAUACCAAUGGAGCUUCGCAGGAGGUGCCUUUACGGCGGGAAGCCGAGCCCGCGGCGACUGACCAACCAAGGUCAGUGCGGCCCAGCAGGCGGAAAAGGAGUGCAGCGCGAAUCGAAAUGUCGCCGCAAAGGUAUGGCGCACCCUUGUCUUUAAGGGAAAGACUCUUGGGAGGUAUAGUAAUGCUCAUGAUUCUUCCAGGAGAAAGAGCACUCGCCGGACUACGUCCGGAGAGGUUGCCAACCAAGCCUCCGCCAGCCAGGCUCCAACACCUGGUCCGGGGGGGGAGGCGAGCGCAAGGUGUGAGCUGGAUGCUCCUCCAAUGGAGGAUGCCGACAGGCUGUCCGCCACCAGGUCUGAGGUGGAGAGCGCCAUGAAUCACAGGCGCCGUCGGACAGUUCUUCGUGACACGUGUUUCUCCCCCGAGGCGUUGAAUGCCUUUAAUGCGGGAGACGCGCACCUUCGUGCUGCUCAAGAUGGUUUAACCAGAGCCACGGAGCAGUAUGUGAAAGACAUACGGGUGAGGAAUUUUAAUAACUGUAUAUGCCAGUAGCCCCCGAGACUUAAAAUAGUUAAACUAACUGAUUUAAGGAUCAUUUGUUAUGCAUGAUCUUAUGGAGAAGAAUACCCACCUGUCCCAGGAGCUUCAAGAAUGCAAGGCCCAACUUGAGGCCGCACUAGCCGCCGCCGGGGGAGCCAUAGAGACCCCUUCUGGUAAUACAUAUUUCGAAAAGAUAAAUAGUUUCUGAAGUGUGGCGUGUGCGUUUAGUCUGACAAUAAUAUUGCAGAGGGUGCCGGACUAGAUCCGAACAAGCAACAUCUGUUGCGCCAGCUAAAGGCCGGCGAGAAGGUGCUUAUGAGGGUGCAGCAGGAGAGGAAUAAACUCCAAGAUGUUAAUACCCGGCUGGGCGAGGAACUAAAAGAUGUUCGGGUCCAGCUGUCUAACUCCGUAAAGGAGAAUCAGCGGUUUCGUCGCGGCAUUUACGGUAAGUGCUUGAGAAAACUCUUUUGAAAAGAAGAGUUCGGCGAGGAAGUCGAUUGACAGAAAUAUGUCUGUAGGUGUGCUCACGGGUCGUCCGGCGGAGGAAAUGCCUGGUUCCACGGGUGACCUUCUUCCCGAGCUGCUGCAACUUCACGAACAUGUCCGGCAGGCGAUGAGCGGUGUUGUUCAGGCCUUAUGGCCGUAUGUCUCCCUACCCGAGGGUCUUGGAGGGCUUGCUGACAAGCUUCAGGGAGUGCGGCAACGUUUCCGUCUGUGAAAGAUAUCGGCCUGCCAUCAAGGCGCCAGGGAGGCCUGGGCCAUGGUGAAGACGCGGUACACGAAGGCUGAUCCAAACCACAUGGCCGAGGUCGGACCUGUGGGGCCUGAUGGGAAGGAGAUCCCUAUGAGCCUGAUGUACGACCAAGUAGAGUUGGCCGUGAAAUAUUCCCAACGGAACUGUAAACUAGACAACCUGUUAGAUGGGAUUGAAGAGGAGUACAAUCAGUCAGUUUGACGAUGUAAUUUAAAAUGACAUGUGAAAUGCCUUCUAGCCGGAUUGUAGAUCGUUUGUCUUUGCGGACCUUUUCGCUUCAACCUCGGGACCCAACAGUCAGGAGUGUGUCCGAAUACCCUCGCGGUUAUAAAAAAACCGGGGCAUGCAUGGAGACCAGGCGUAGGGGUCAUAAGUGCUUUAUCAGACAAGUGCCCAACUAGCUAUGUUAUAUUACAUGGUUAGUAAGAAACAUCUUCCAGGGAGAAUAGUUCCGUUAGGGGUUCCUUUCCCUGGGAGGCAUGCCCUAAAGUGCAUGUCCGGACUGCGAAAAGAGCAGAAAAAGCAUCUGGGGGCAGAUAAAUAAAUAAGUAAUACAUCAUCUUUCAAGUCACCGACCGAAUAUUCCCUUAAGAACGCUAGCUUUCGGCUUCACCCAGUCUGAGGUACACAUCCGGCUGACCCGGCAGUAACAAUCGCAGAGGUGCUCCCUUUACCUCCUAGCUGAACAAUCGGGAACGUAGGGGUAAGCACAGGAGCCAGGCAACCCAGCUUGGCCAAAACUUAAGUCAUAUCGAUGCAUAUAAUGGUGAGUAAAAGGUACAUGCGGAAGUAUAACACAUGUGUUGGGCAUGAAGACCGUAUAAAUAAGCUUAUGUUAAAGAAGCCCCCAGGUAUAACGAGUGCGAGUAGCACAUCGAGUGUGUGCGAACAAUGCGCCGAUCAGCCCUCAAAGGCUUUUACUGAAAGAGGGAGGAAAGAAGAGGGAAACAAAAGACAGCGAAAAAAGGAAAAAUAUGAAAGGUGGACGGAGGAAGGGGACGAACUCUGAGUCCGACGCUAGGCGUAGAAUCUUCGGAGAUGGGUUGCGUUCCAUGGGUUCGGCUCGAGUCGGUUGUCAGAUGCAUUGCGCAGACGGUAUGCACCACCGGUAAGGACUUGGUCGAUGAUGAAGGGACCUUCCCAUUUGGGCUUCAGUUUGUCCUUUUUCUUGUCCGGCAGGCGGAGAACUAGCUCGCCAACAUUGUAAGUUUUGGCUCGUACUUCUCUGCUUUGAUAUCUUCGAGCCUGCUGCUGAUAAAAUGCGGAACGGGAUUUUGCCACAUCGCGCUCCUCCUCUAAGGCGUCCAAACUGUCCUGCCGAUCCAACUCGGCUUCUCUUUCUUCGUACAUGCGCACGCGAGGUGAGUCAUGAAUUAUAUCGCAAGGCAAAACUGCCUCUGCGCCGUAUACCAUAAAAAAUGGUGUGAAUCCGGUAGUGCGGUUUGGUGUGGUCCAUAGCCCCCAGAGUACGGAGUCGAGCUCCUCUACCCAGUGCGUGUUAGAUUCCGUGAGGGACCACACUAAUCUGGGUUUAAUGCCGCUCAUGAUUAGACCAUUUUCUCAUUCGACUUGACCGUUAGUUUGAGGGUGAUAGACUAAAGCGUAGUCGAGCUUGAUGCCCAUGUUUUUACACCAGAGUUUAACCUCGUCGGCGGUGAAAUUCGUGCCGUUAUCAGUGAUGAUGCUGUGGGGGACGCCAAAACGGUGUACUACCCCGGAUAUGAAGUCUAUCAUAGGUCCGGAUUCUGCCGUUUUAACCGGCUUGGCCUCUAUCCAUUUGGUGAAUUUGUCCACCAUGACCAAUAAGUAUUUUUGCAUGUGGGUUCCCCCUUUAAGGGGUCCAACCAUGUCAAGCCCCCAGACCGCGAACGGCCAUGUAAUGGGUAUAGUUUUGAGGGCGGUGGGUGGCAUGUGGCUUUGAUUAGCAAAGAGCUGGCAACCGACGCAUCGUUGGACUAAGUCCUGAGCAUCUGCCCGGGCUGUCGGCCAAUAAAAUCCUGUACGGAAGGCCUUGCCUACAAGGGCCCGGGCUGCAGCGCGGUGCCCGCCGAGUCCGGCGUGAAUUUCAUCCAGGAUAUUUCGCCCUUCCUCUUCGGAGAUACACCUUUGGAGGACUCCGGUUGUGCUUUUCUUAUAAAGUUCUCCCUCAUGGACCUUGUAGGCUUUAGAUCGCCGAACUAUGCAGCGGGCCUCAUUUUGGUCUUCGGGAAGUUCCUGCCUAAUUAAGUAGGCUAGGAAUGGUUCCGUCCACGGGGCAAUUACUGCCAUUAUUUCGUGGGCUGAAGGUGUUAUUUCAUUGGCUGAGCCACCGAUUGUGUCAGAAUGUUCCGUGUUGGGUGGUGCAGUUGGUUCCGGGUUGUUAUUUCCGGACUCCUCUUCCCAUAAUACGGAUGGCUUAAAGAGCCGCUCCAGGAAGAUGUUUGGAGGGACGGCGUCACGUUUUGCGCCGAUGCGUGCCAACACGUCUGCUUCCUGGUUAUUAUCUGCCAUCUUGAUUUGAUGGUAUCCGGAGUAUGCGUCGAGAAAGCACAAUGAAUCGUGCCCUGCGGUAGCAUCGAUGAUUUGGUCGAUGCGGGGGAGGGGGAAAGGAUCCUUUGGACAGGCCUUGUUAAGGUCUUUGAAAUCGACACAAAGGAGCCAGGAUUUGUUCUUUUUUGGUACCAUUACCAGGUUUGCUAGCCAGUCCGAAUGUUUUAUAUCUCUGAUGAAUCCGGCUUCUAAGAGUUUAUCUAGCUCCUCUCCCAUUGCCUGUCUUUUGGGUUUGGAAAAUCACCGAAGAGCCUGUUUGACUGGCUUGAAUCCUUUUAGGAUAUUUAGGCUGUGUUCUGCCAGCCUGCGUGGGAUUCCUGGCAUAUCUGAAGGGUCAAAACCGGCGGAUCUCGGGUAGGGGGUCCCGAACUGUGCGUCUAGGCGAAUGGUAAUAGGAGACGAGGGACAUGAUGUUUUACCCAGGUUCGGACCCUCUUGAUGGAGGUAAAACCCUACGUCCUGCUUGAUUGAUAUUGAUGAUGUGGGUAUUACAAGAGUAGAUCUACCACGAGAUCAAGGAGGCUAAACCCUAGAAGCUAGCCUAUGGUAUGAUUGUUGUUCGUCCUACGGACUAAAGCCAUCCGGUUUAUAUAGACACCGGAGAGGGCUAGGGUUACACAGAUUCGGUUACAAUCGUAGGAGAUCUACAUAUCCAUAUCGCCAUGCUUGCCUUCCAUGCCAAGGAAAGUCUCAUCCGGACACGGGACGAAGUCUUCAAUCUUGUAUCUUCAUAGUCUUGGAGUCCGGCCGAUGAUGAUAGUUCGGCUGUCCGGACACCCCCUAGUCCGGGACUCCCUCAGUAGCCCCUGAACUAGGCUUCAAUGACGAUGAGUCCGGCGCGCAUAUUGUCUUCGGCAUUGCAAGGCGGGUUCCUCCUCCGAAUAAUUUAUAGAAGAUUAUGAACACCAGGAUAGUGUCCGGCUCUGCAAAAUAAAUUCCACAUGCCACCGUAGAGAGAAUAAUAUUUACACAAGUUCGAUCUGCUGACGUAUUUUGUGGCGUGGCGUCAUACCACAACCAAGCCUUUAUUUGAAUCGUUUUUAUUAUAUCACCUCUGUGCGUUUAGCGAAGCGGUUUCCUUGGCACGUCCUGUCGAAGCAGAGAUCGUGUUCCCCUUAUUCCGGGAUUCUCAUCAAUACGGACGUGGGUAACCCAACCGCGCCAUUGAUUGCGGUGCUUGGGAGAUAAGCGAGUUUUAUCAGGAUGGUGGGGACGCAUGGUUUCGUCCGCCCAUAUAAGGGGAUAAAGAUCCACCCUUUUACCUACGCCUUCUUCCUCCUUUGCCUAUCCAUCUCCGCGAACUCGAGCUCCAGCGCCCAAGUUCGCACAUCUCACCUCAACCUUCUCCAACUAUGUCCGGAGCGGGAGGCAAGUGGAUGGCCUCCUCCGUUACGGAGGGGCAUAUCCGAAAGCUGCGCAGCGCCGGAUACCUGUCCAGCGGCAUUGCGCACCGGCUCCCCGACGAGGGGGAGCUCAUCCCCACCCCCAGGCCCCAUGAGAGGGUAGUAUUUCUUUCCCAUUUCCUCCAUGGACUGGGCUUCCCACUCCAUCCCUUUGUCCGGGGGCUCAUGUUCUACUAUGGCCUGGAUUUCCAUGAUCUGGCCCCGAAUUUCAUCCUCAACAUCUCGGCGUUUAUCGUCGUGUGUGAGGCCUUCCUCUGCAUCAAGCCCCACUUCGGCUUGUGGCUCAAGACCUUCAGUGUCAAGCUGAAGGUUGUGAAGGGCAGCCAAGCGGAGUGCGGAGGCGCCAUGGUGGGCAAGAUGCCCAACGUUACUUGGCUCGAGGGCACCUUCGUGGAAACCAUUAAGGGGUGGCAACCGGGGUGGUUCUACAUCACCAAGCCGCGUGACCCUGAAUGGGCAGCGGCCCCCGAAUUUAGAUUUGGCAUCCCCAUACGGCUCACCUCCUGGAAGGAGAGCGACCGGAUAUGGGGUGAUUCGGAGGAGCUGACCGGACUUCAAGCCUGCAUCCAAAAGCUAGUGAAAAAGAAGCUCAAGCUUGUCAACGUAGUCCAGGUCAUGCUCAUCCGCCAGAUUCUCCCGUGCCAACAACGGGACUUCAAUAUGUGGGAGUUCGAUCCGGCACAGCACCAGACUUUGAGCGGGCUCUUCGACACUACAUACGAAGAGGCCUGGAGGGUACUGUUUAAGGGCGCCGAGGCUCCCGCAUCCGCUACCGAAGAUCGCGGAUUCAGCUCGCAGCGUCCGGCUAGCGAGGUAAGCGAUUUUGCCCUUUACAGGACGCUUGUUUUCCAUAGUUUGACUCUAUGCGGGAUCUAAACUCCCUCUCCUUUGACAGGACUGGCUGAAGAAGGCCGAGCAGACUAUCUGUCUGGCCCCUUUGCCAGAAGACCCAGCGGACGCCCGCUUAACGGGGCUGCUGGCUCCGGCACCCCAUGUGGUGCCGGAGAAGAAGGCCAAGAAGAAGGCCACGGGCACUCGAAAGAGUUCCCGUUUUCAGGUGUCAUCGGACGAUGACACCGAGGCGGACUCCUCCCACGAAGGCGAGGAGAAGAAAGAGGCCUCUCCCCUAGCGGGGGGAGGGAAGAAAAGGAAGGCCUCCCCAAUGAGGGAGGCCGAAGGGUCCAAGAAGGGAAGGACUCUUCCCCCGGACUGCUCUGCCAACGCCAGCGAUGACGACGAGGAUUGGCCUCCAAGGGCCAAGCCCCUGGCGAGAUCGUAAGUAUCCGGACUCCCGAAUAACUUCAUGAUUUUUAUUUUCGCCACAUGGUGUCUUUCUAAUGCUGCAUGCAACCCUACAGUCCGCCCAAGGAGGAUCUUCCCGCUUCAUCGAGCGGGUCCUUGGGUGCGUCGGAUAUGGAUUCCCUUCCGACCACCUCCUCCCCUCGUGAUGCGGACGAUGCCGAGGUGGGAUCCCGGGAAGGGACCCGCCAGGAGGAGGAGGUCCCGGAGGUGCCGCAGGGCAACCUCCCGGACUUUGCACCGGACUCCGCACCGGAACCUGUAGUGGCUCCGGAGUCCGGCGGGUGGCCCCUUCGUAAGAAGGGCAAGACCGUGACGCCGGUGGCCUCCGUCCAACCGGAGGCGCCGGAUAGCUUGCUGGAGGCACUCAACGGCGCUUCCAUUGAAGAGGAACACCGCACCGUCAUGGGUGCGGUGAUUCAGAAGGUUCAGCUCGCCAAGAGCGGGCUGACCGAAGCUGCAGCAGCCUUCUAACAGGCUUUGAGGUAAGAAUUGUGAUAUAUGUAAAAUAAUACCGCAUAGACAGUAGCCCCUUAUGCUUGGUUCGGUGUUCGGAAAGAAAAGCCGGACUGAGGAUCUAAAAAGAUAUACGCAGGAGUCAUAAAAAUAUGUCAAUAUAGGAUUGCAGGUUGUGCUCCUGACCUCUGCCGCACUGACUGCGGAGGUCAAUACUUUGAAGCAAAGCCUCGAGCGGUCCGAGAACGAGCUCGGCCGUGCCAAGAAGCAACUCGAGGACAAGGAAGGUGAGUAACACCUUAUUAAAAUUGUACAUUACAGAAAAGGAUUUGGUUGCAAGAAAAAUGACAAGGAUAACAUGGGUAUUGCAGGGGCCACGAACGAGGUGGCGAUCUUGAAGGAGGCGGUGGCCGUGGCCGAACGCAAUGCGGCCGCGGAGCGCACCGAACGAGAGAAGCAGGAGGCGCGGGUGGCGGAGGUACAACAAGAGCUCCAGGCUCUCAUGGAAAAACAUGAGAGUUUGGGGCGCGACUCGAAGACUCGAGAGUCCGAGCUUGCAUCGGCUCUUGAGAGUGCCAAAGCCGCUAAGGCCGAAGCGUACAAGGCCCUCCAGAAAAUCGAUGCGUUGAAGAAAAUAGCGGCGGGUAAGGCAUUUUUCAUGCAAAGUAAGCAUGUGAGUGUGAAUUACCUGUCACUUACCCGAAUUCGGAGCUCUCCAGGAGCAUUCACAGAUCUGCCCCGCAGCGUGUCCGAUGCUGCCGCUUUCUACAGUGCCGAGGAGGGGAUCUCGACGGAGAAGGUCUUCUGGUCUCAGUAUGCUGAGGCCGGACAUUCGGUGCCCCUUAGCGACCAGCUUAAGCAGCUGGUCGAUCUCCACAAGGUGGCCGAACAGGCCAUGAAGGGCCUCAUAGUUCUGCUGUGGCCCAAGGAGGCCAUGCCUGGGAGCUACUUCGGCCUGGUGCGGCGGCUGGUGGAUGUGUGUCCAUGGGUUGAAGUCAUCAAGAACUCCGCCUGUAUUGAAGGUGCCCGUCGGGCCCUUGCCCGCGCAAAGGUGCAAUGGGGCAAGAUGGAUGCUGAGAAGCUUGUGACGGACGCGCCACGGCCGGGCAAGGAGUAUCGCACGCCCGAGAUGUAUUAUAAAAGUGUCCUGAAGGGUGCCCGCAUUAUUGCGGGUGAGUGCUCCAAAGAUGUAAUAUUUGAGUAGACUCGCAUUUUGUUAUCAUGUGCGCUGAAAACUUUGUUCAUAUGCGCUAGGCAUCGCUUAUUAAUUUAAAAUAUUACCUUCUGUGCGGCCGUUUAUCAAAUCUGAGAGAUGGCAAGUCGUCGGCUUCAGCCCCCAUGCCACGAGUGCUGGGGUGUUCAGGAUAAAUUUGAGCACUCUUGUUCCCAUUUUUGGGUCCAUCUAGGGAGGCGCUUAACACAACGAACGAGGCAACCGGACUUAUAAUGCUUGAACACUCUCACUUAGCCAUAGAAUUCUAUAAUUUUAAAUUUCGGCGAAGCCCCUAGUCUUCGGAAGGCCAAAUUUGGGGCGCUAUCCAUGCCUGGGCCGGACAAAGCCGGUUCCUCGCUCUAAGUGGCAUAAGUCUUUAGGGACUCAAAAAUAACCCUCUCGAAUAGCGACCGGCUCUCGCCUCAUCAUGACGGUCAGUUUUAGCUUUCUCCACUGAGGCGCUCGCCCAGCUCAACCGGGGCGCAAUCGCAGUGGUUUCCUUGGUUUAUUCGAGUGGACAGUGAUGACAUUCAGAUUAAAAAAUGCUGGAGCCACAUAUCAAAGGGCUAUGAAUUUGAUUUUUCAUGAUUUACUCGGUAUCAUACUUGAAGUUUAUAUUGAUGAUAUUGUUGUCAAAUCGGAUGCUUUUGAAUCUCACUUGGCCGAUUUGCGUUUAGCUUUUGAAAGAAUGAAAAAGUAUGGAUUGAAGAUGAAUCCUUUGAAGUGUGCAUUCGGCGUGUCAGCUGGCAAAUUUUUGGGUUUCAUUAUUCAUGAAGAUGGCAUCGAAAUUGAUCCCAAAAAGAUAGAGGCCAUACAGAAAGUAGAGGCUCCAACAUGCAAGAGAGAUAUGCAAAAGUUCCUUGGCAAGGUCAAUUAUUUGAGAAGGUUCAUAGCUAAUCUGUCAGGGAAAGUUGAUGCACUUACUCCUAUCCUUCGGUUAAAGAAUGAUGUUGAUUUCACUUGGGGGGCAAAACAGCAAGAAGCCUUUGAUAUGAUCAAGAAUUAUUUGUGCACUCCUCCGGUAAUGAAAGCACCCAAACAUAGAGAGCCUUUUAAGCUUUAUAUCGCAGCAGAGGAAGGUGUUAUUGGUGUUGUUUUGACUCAAGAUACCGAAGGAAAAGAGCAUGCCAUUACGUAUUUGAGCAGACGCUUAUUGGACGCCCGAGACAAGGUAUACAUUUAUUGAAAAACUAUGUCUAUGCUUAUAUUAUGCUUGCACAAAAUUGACACAUUACCUAGUGCCGAGUGCUUGUGUAGUAGCUUGUCAAACCGAUGUCAUUAAGUACAUUUGCAUAGGCCAAUUCUUAGUGGUAGAAUUGGCAAGUGGGCUUAUGCUUUGAUUGAAUAUGAUUUGGCUUAUGAAUCUCUAAAAUCCAUGAAAGGUCAAAUUGUUGCUAAUUUCAUUGUUGAACAUUGGAUUAAUGACAAGCAUGAUGUUGAUAUGAACCUUGUUUCAUUAGUGCCAUGGAGAUUGUACUUUGAUGGUUCAGUUUGUAGCAAUGGCCAAGGUGUUGGUAUUGUUUAUAUAUCUCCUCAUGGUGCUGUUUUUGAAGCCUCAUGCCGCUUAGAAUAUGUUUGCACAAACAAUCAAGCCGAAUAUGAAGUAUUGUUAUUCGGCCUAGAAAUGUUGCUUGCUAUAGGUAUUACACAUAUUGAGGCUUAUGGUGAUUCGUUACUAGUGGUGCAGCAAGUAUCCAAAGUCUUUCAGUGUUUGAACGAAUCACUUAAUGUUUACCUUGAUAAAUUUCUAGAUAUAAUUUCUACUUUGGAUUGUUUUAGCAUUGCUCAUAUAUCUAGGCAUGACAAUUGGAAAGCAAAUGAUCUGGCACAACAAGCAUCUGGAUAUCAUGUUGAUCAUGGCAUGUUUCAUAUCUCUCAAAGACCGAUGUCUUGUCUUGCCGAUAUGGGAGAGGCCGGACCUGAAUCUACUGAUUCGGCCACUAACAAAAAAUCUAGUGCAGGUGACAAUUCCGACUGGAGGAAGCCCAUUGUUGAUUACUUGUGCAAUCCGAGUGAAAGGGUGGACAGGGCUGUUCAGCGUAUGGCUUUCAAGUAUACAAUGAGAGAUGAUGGUCUUUAUCGCCGAACAGUCGAUGAUGUUCUUCUAAAGUGUUUGGAUGAGGACCAGGCAAGAGUUGCUAUGGGAGAAGUACAUCAAGGUAUUUGUGGCACUCACCAGUCGGCUCCCAAGAUGAAAUGGUUAUUGCGACGUGCUGGGUUUUAUUGGCCGACUAUGAUUAAUGAUUGCUUCAGAUAUUAUAAAGGGUGUGAAGCUUGUCAAAAGUUUGGUGAUAUUCAAUUGGCUCAUGCUGCUAUGUUACAUCCUAUUAUCAAACCGUGGCCUUUCAGAGGUUGGGGUUUAGAUUUCAUUGAACAAAUCCACUCGUCUUCCUCAAAAGGGCAUCGGUUCGUAUUGGUGGCGACUGAUUAUUUCACUAAAUGGUCUGAAGCAGUACCUCUCAAGAACAUGACACAUACGGAGGUAAUUCAAUUCAUAACCGAGCACAUUAUUCAUAGAUUCGGUGUUCCUCAAAUGUUAACUACGAAUCAAGGUUCAUCUUUCAUGUCACACCAAGUCAGAGAGUUUGCCGAAUCUUAUAACAUAAAGUUGCUCAAUUCCUCUCCGUAUUAUGCCCAAGCUAAUGGACAAGCUGAGUCUAGCAAUAAAAUUUUAAUCAAGCUCAUCAAGAAGAAGAUUGAGGAUAAUCCGAGAAGAUGGCAUGAGUUGUUGUCUGAAGCUUUGUGGGCACAUCGAAUUUCAAGGCAUGGUGCUACCAAGGUGACUCCAUAUGAGCUUGUAUAUGGCCAAGAGGCUGUUUUACCAGUGGAAGUAAAUUUGAAUGCUUUGAGAAUAGCCAAACAAAAUGAUUUAUCGACAGUAGACUUUUAUAACUUGAUGAUGGACAAUAUUGACGAAGUUGCCGAUAAACGUUUGGUGGCUUUGAAGUCCAUAGAGAGAGACAAGUUGAGGGUUGCAAGAGCUUACAAUAAGAAAGUUAAGUUGAAGAAUUUUCAAGUUGGUGAUCUCGUCUGGAAAGUGAUUCUGCCGAUUGGUUCAAGAGAUAGAAAAUUCGGGAAGUGGUCUCCAAGUUGGGAAGAUCCUUUUAGGAUUACAAGAGUUGUUCCCGGAAAUUCAUAUUUGGUGGAAUCAAUACAAGGGGCAUUGUUACCCCGAGCUCUCAACGGAAAAUAUUUGAAGAAGUACCACCCGAGUGUGUGGCAGGAAGCCUGAGUAGGCAAUGGCCGAUAUACGAUUAUCGCCCAUAGCACAAACAUGGCCGAUACAUAAUUAUCGCCCUGAGGAAAAUAAAUGGCCGAUGAAGGGUUGACAUCGUCCUUAGAACGAACACUAUGCAUAUUAUUUUUCGGCGUGCAAGCUUUGCCGAAAAAUAGGGGGGCAUGUGUUGACGCCUGAUUUUGGCAAGAUACAGAGUGAAAGGGUUUUCAGCAUGAAAAGUUUCACAUCACCGAGUGGAACAACUUUGAUGUUUAGGUUAUCAUCGUCCAACUCCAUCUUAGGGGCCGAAAUUGUAUUCCGAGUGGCAGAAUUCAAUAUUCCGAGUGGUUUUCGGACGAUCAUGCCUUCAAGACGACCUCGGAUGAAGGAGUACUCUAAAGGAAUUGUCUUCGUCUCGUCGAGGCAUUCAAUUUUGAUAUAUAAAUCAUCUCAAUCCGAGUUCAUAUGCAAAAGUUAGAGGCGAUACACUGCAGACCGAAGCUGAAUGGAAAUAUGGCGCGAAGUACUAGACACCUUGUCUGAUGGGUCGCGCGAGCAAUUAGGCCCUUAAGAAGUCCAUGAAUCGGAAAAACUUCAACACGAGAAAGUUUCAUCUCGUCAAGCCGAUCGAUUUUCAUAUAUAAUUCGUCUCAAUCCGAGGUCGUAUGGGACCUGAGGAGACAAAUCAAGAUCAGCCUAUGUUUUCGAUCGAGUGAAAAGCUUGCCGUCCGAGUGAAAACUUACCGGUCGAGUGAAAGCUUAACUUUCGAGUAAAAACUUACCGAUCGAUAAAAAGCGUAUCAUCCGAGUGAAAAUUUACCGGUCGAGUGGAAGUUUGCUGACCGGAUGAACUUAUUAUUAUCCGAAUAAAAAUAUAGUCAUCCGAGUGAAAGAUUGUUUUCUGAGUGAAAAAGUCCAGUCGGAUGGUCCGAGUGAAAGUCUCUAAUAUCCGAGUGGAUGAGCUCGAAUCCGAGUGAAACUGAACAUGUGCCCGAAAGUUUAUCAAGAUGACCUCGGAUGAAGAAGUGUUCGAUACAUAAGUUAUGCAUAUCAUCAAGACGUUAAACUUUGGUUUUGGAGUCAUCAUCAUCAGAGAUAGUAUAUGGCCUACAAGUUCACUACGAGACUCGGAUAAUCCAGUCUACUGCAAGACCGAGUCCGACUGGAAGGUAAAGAUGACCUCGAGGAGUAUUCAAGAUGGCCUUAUUUGAAAAAGUAAUCAACAUGAGAGUUGUUCGUAUCAUCGAGGCACACAAGUUUGAUAUUUGGGCCGUCUUGAUCGAAGAUCAUAUGUAAGCUCGGCGGCCCGCGCAAGAAGGAAGAUAAAGUUUGAGCCAGAUUCAGACUGAAUCCGAGUUAGAAUAGAACUAGGACUCUAGGACGCGAAUUGAUGUAAUUUUUCUUGUAAGGAAAGUCUAGAUGAAUCCUUUACUUGUACGGGAAGUCCAACCACCUCUUAUAUAUGUUGGGGGUGACGGCCGAUUAAACACACAAUCGAACAAAUCAAUAUACUACUUUUACAUCUUCGUUUUAUCUCUCCACCGUUUUUCUCUCUCGUUCUUCGCUGUUCUUCGUGUUUGAGAGCUGCGAAUCCCGAGGCUCUAGGGGCGAGCGAAUCGACCUAGAGCAGCCCAUAGCCGCCGCAAUCCCUGACGGGGUCCCUCCCGGGUGCGCGGGGUUUCGGGUCUGCAAAAGCGUCCGCUGACUGUCUUGCGUAUCGCGCUGUCGGUCGGGUCUCCUUCGACGUGAGCUACGGUGCAUCACCCCCGGCGUCGAGGGUACAUGUGACGUGUUCGUGUGUCAACAGGGUUAUAGGUAUCCAUCUAUAUUUUUAAGGAGAAUAUGCGAAUAAAGGCAUGGCCGAAAACCGAGAGGAAGACCCCUCCUUUUAUUGCCGGAAUACGAUCUGAACCCGGGUGGUGAGGUUGUACAUCCAUAGACCUUGCUUUCUAGAUAACAAACGUGGAUAGAAAGAUGAUGUAGAGUUGUAGACAGAUGCAUAUGGGGCCUAAUUGAGGUAGAAGCUAGCUAUAUAUCUCUAGUUAGGUUGACGUGCAUGGGGGCCAUGAGUGAGGUGAUGCAUCAUGGACGUGUCAUGGUCAGGCUAGACGAGAUCGAGCAGCCGGAUCUCUCUCUACCAAGGUUGAUAAUAGAUCGACGUGGACACAUGCACGCGUUGGCCUCCAACAGAUAUGUACGUAUGCACCACUUUAUUUUGCUUUUCUUUGCUCCCCCAUGUUGGCUUACCAGUCGCCCAUGACUGUCCUUAGGUUCUUGCCGACACAUGGGAACUUGUUGCUAGCUAGGAUCCACGCGGUUCUAUGUACUGUGCAUCGAUAGAAGCGCAGGCCGAAAGAGAAACGAGAAAGGAUUUCUUUCUUUAUUUUGUGGAAAGAACUUCCAAUUUCACUAUCACAAAAAUUAUUGACAGUUUCCUCAAGAGAGAAUGGAUCGCCAAAAGGUGGCUUUUCUGCGAACCAAUCUGUGCUUGGAUUGUUGGAGAGACUGUGGUAUCCCUAGCCCAUCAGGGUUCAAAUUCUGGUGCUCGCAUUUAUUCAUAUAUUUAUUUCAGGAUUUUCGGCGAUGUGCAUUCAGUGGGAGGAGAUGUUCCCGUCGACGACGAGGCGCCUACAAUGGCUUCGUAAAUGUAGGGUGUGCGUGCGUUCAUUUUUUUUGAAACGGAGGCAAAAGUAUUCCCUCAUCCAUUAAUUAAGAAGAAGAGAGCUGCUCCGUUAAUUUACGAAAAACUAGGCAAAAACCGUUACAAACUUGCUCAAGACAAUUGAGCAAGCACACACAUACAAUCAUGCCAACUACUCCCGAAUCAUGGAGACACACGACCACAUAGGCACGCCGACAAACACACCCAACACAAUUUUAAUGUCACUUCCCAACACAUGGGUCUCAACAUCACAAAGAAAACCCCAUUGAGUCGUUGGAGUGACUGUAUGCGCGUGUAUAUAUGACCGCUUGUGUCUGUACUGAUGCUCAAAAAAAAGGUGACCUUUCUUGUAGUAUUAUUGACUUGAUCAUAUACUACUUCUUUCGUUCGGAAUUAUUUUUCGCGAAAAUGAACAAAAAUGAAUGUAUCCAGAACUAAAAUGCAUCUUGGUACACUCAUUUCUUUGACAAGUAAUUCCGGCUGGAAGGAGUACUUUCGAUUGAUCAAUGCUCAGUUUUGAUGACUUAUACCUGCACCCUCUGUCACCUACUUUAUUUUUAUUUCCGCGGUGCUGUCGCCUAAGGUAGUACUAGUUAAUUAACCAGUUCGACAUGAUUCGAGGAUGUCAUUCGCCAGCUGAUCCCUUGCUAAUCCGGACAAAUUUCAGAGGCCGGCCGAUGCAUAACAAGUUAGUAGUAGUACUACUACAUAUAGGAUGGGUGUGAACUUAAUAGUGCUAAAUUCUUCCAUCCUUUUGAGUCGUAAAACAUAUUGAAUCCAAAUAACUACCCAAUCAUUGAGAGAGCAUAUACUCCCAUCCUAGCAACAGAUGCUCUCAGUGUACACAUGUGCUGAUGUAAUGUACAUACCAAAACAGUGACAUUUGAAUCUUGAACUUUGUCAAUGGUGGUGAUCACUGGCAUACCUGUCACCGAAUCUGCUUCUUAAAAAAGGUGGUCAAAAUGUAUAAGGAUAUGCUAUAUGUCACUGGUGUGAUGUCUGCGCAAGCAACGACGUAAACGUAAGUUUUUUUUUGAGGGGUGAUAAAAACUUUAUUCAUCAAAAUCCACAUGAAGUGGGACACGGUUCUGGUUGUAAGGAACGCCAAAUCACACGUGGCGACCAGGACCUCUACUAAGAGAAAACUUUGCUAAACUAUGUGCUUCAUAAUUUGUAGCACGACCCUCGAAAGUAAAGAUACAUUGAAAAGUUGCAGCUUUGAGUUUGAUCUCGCUAAUUAUGGCUCCAUAUCUCCCUCUUGCGCUUUGAUCGAUAUCUGCCACAACCUGUUUACAAUCCGAAGCAAUAACAAAACUUCUGAUAUUCAAAUCCUCCGCCAAGCACAAUGCCUCGCGGCACGCCAAGGCUUCCAGUGACGCUGGAUCUGUCACUCCCUCGGUAACCAAAGCCGAUGCCCCAAGAUAGUUCCCUUCUCCAUCUCUGCAUACUGCAGCCGCCGAUCCUCCUUUUCUAGCGCAGGCGCUGGCGUCGACAUGUAUUUUGCAAUGUCCAGGAGGUGGCCUCUUUGGGCUCUUGCGUACUUCACUUGUCGGAGCCCCACUCUGCCUUGGGCGAAUAUUUCCAUCAUUGACAGUGCCAAGUUCAUCAAUGAACCUGUUGAUGAAUAUAUGUGUCUGGUGGGGGCUUUGAAAGAUUGCCUCGUGAAUGGCUUUGCGGCGGGCAUGCCAGAUUGACCACAGCGUGAUCGCCAGACGGACGAACUUGUCGUGCGGCAAGCUUUCCAUCAAAGUAAACAACCAAUUUUUUGCAUUUGGCUCAGUGGUGGCUAUGAUUGUAUGUGUUAGUUCCUCUUCUCCCAACGCCCAAACACUUCGCGACGCGGUGCAUUCCAGCAGCGAGUGUCUCCACGAGUCCUGAACCCCGCAGAAGCCACAUCGGCUAGAAUCUGUCAUAUGGCGGUGCGCCCUUAUAUCAUUUGUCGGCAACAAUUGCUUGGAUAAUCUCCAUAAGAACAUCCUGACUUUGCCCGGGACUUUGGUAUUCCACAAUGACUUCCAUGCCCCUUUUUCCGCCCCACUGCUUGACGGGCCUGCCCUUCCCUCCAACCAAGCCUCUCUAUGCUGCCUGGUUGCAAUAAGCAUUUUAUACGCUGACUUCACUGAGAAAAUACCAUGUUUUUCGUAGUGCCACGCCCAAAAGUCAUCCAUAUUCCGAGUACAUAACGGAAACCCAGUAUCAUGUCUGCAUCCAUUGGCAUGAAAGUGGACUGCACCACUUGCAUGUUGCACGCUGCCGUUGCAGGAGUUAUAAGUUCAGAGACAAGAGUCGGGGGGUUUUGUGAUAGACACCCAUAUGGUCUAAUCAUUUCGUCUCUUGGCAGCCAAUUGUGUGUCCAUAUGUUUGUUGUCACUCCAUUCCCAAUUCGUCUAAUCAGCCCUUGUUUCAAAAUAUCCCUUCCCUCCAAAAUUGCUCUCCAUACUUGACUAGGUCGACCUCCCAGUUCAGCAUCAAGAAUGUCAGAAGAUGGAUAGUAGAUGCUCUUCAGGAUACGGGCACAUAGUGUGUCUGGAUUUUGCAGCAGUCGCCACGCUUGUCUUGCCAACAUGGCGAGGUUGAAAAGCUCAAAGUCUUUGAACCCCAAACCCCCCAUGUCUUUAGGUUGCGUCAUAGAUUUCCAUGAGACCCAAUGUGGUUUCCGCUUUCCUUCCUUGCUACCCCACCAAAAUUUCCGGAUGAGCAUGUUGAGAUGUUCACACAACCCUUUAGGUAGCUUGAAACAUGACAUCGAAAAAACGGGCACUGCUUGAGCAACAAACUUAACUAGCACUUCCUUGCCUGCUGAUGACAUAGUGCUCUCUAUCCACCCCUGAACCUUGCUCCAUAGAUGGUCUUUGAGGUAUUUAAAAGCACCAUUCUUAGAGCUACCAACAUCCGAGGGCAUCCCCAAAUACUUCUCAUUCAGAGUUUCGUUAGGGACAUUGAGUGUUUCCUUUAUUCCCCCCUUACUGAGUCUGGCACUCCUUUGCUGAAGUAUAUUGAAGAUUUUGAAUAGUUAAUACGCUGCCCAGUUGCCUGACAAUAAGUAUCAAGAACUUGGUACACCUCGUUAGCCCCCACACCAUUUGCCUUGAAAAACAGCAGGCUGUCAUCUGCGAAUAGGAGAUGGUUCACCGGUGGCGCCGUAGGUGCCACCUGUAUACCAUGAAGAUUGGAUGACUCACUUUUAGAUUUUAAGAGGCACGAAAGGCCCUCUGCUGCUAACAAGAACAAGUAUGGAGAUAUCGGGUCCCCCUGUCUGAUUCCUCGUGAAGGAGUAAAUUGGUGAAGCUUCUUCCCAUUAAAGAGAACAGAGAAUUCAACUGUUGUUACCAGGCUCAUGACUAUGUCAACCCAUCGGUCAGUAAAACCCAGCUUGAGCAUAAUGGCCUUUAGAUAAGCCCACUCAACCCUGUCAUACGCCUUCAUCAUAUCCAGCUUGAGAGCACAUGAUUGAUUUUUCUUUGCUUUAUUCCUCUUCAUAAAAUGCAAGCACUCAUAAGCCGUGAUUAUGUUAUCUGUGAUUAACCUGCCCGGUACAAAAGCUGAUUGUUCGUUUGAGAUGAUAUCCGGCAGAACCAACUUUAAUCUGUUGGAGAUUACCUUUGAAGCAAUUUUGUAUAAAACAUUGCAUAGGCUAAUUGGGCGAAACUGUGACAAAAGUGUUGGGUUUUUUUACCUUCGAAAUGAGCACCAAAAUCGUUUCAUUAAUGCACCUUGCUGAUUCAGUUCCCUCCACAAUCCUGAGAACCGCUUGAGUGACUUCAUCGGUGCACACCUCCCAAUGGUGCUAAAAAAAUGUGCUGGAUAUCCAUAUGGUCCUGGAGCCUUGGUGGGGAACAUUUGGAACAAAGCUGCCUUAACUUCAUUCUGGCUAUAGGGAGCAUUAAGAAGAUCAUUCAUCUCAUGUGUUACUUUAGUUGGUACUGUCUCUAGGACCUGAUCCAUGUUAUGAACUCCUUCUGAUGUGUAAAGCUGCUGAUAGAAAGAAGUGGCCAUUUGUUCCAUCUCCGGUAUAUUCUCUGUUAGUUCACCAUCUGGUUUUUGGAGUGCUUUGAUCUGGUUCUUCCUUCUCCUCUGACUCGCUCUGAGGUGAAAGAAAUAUGUGUUUUUGUCUCCAUGGAUUAGCCACUCCACCCUUGCACGCUGGCGCCACAAGAUUUCCUCUCUAUGAUAAAGUUCAGUUAAUCUCUCAACAAUUCUUAUUUCUACAUGCGUUGGUCCUAUCCGGCUGGGAUCCGACCGAAUCUCCUGUAGGUCUCGCUUUAGGCGCUGAAUCUCUUGCCUGAUGUUCCUGAAGUGGAUCCUGUCCCAGUUUGUCAAAUCAUCCGAAAGCACAGACAGUUUGUCUUUUAUCGCCUGGACUGAUCCCCCCCCACCGCUGUUCCAUGCAUGCUGUACCACAGGCGCUAGGCCCGAGUCCCUCUCCCAGGCCACCUCAUAUUUAAAACUCCAUGGGGCCCUGUUGCAUGCAGUUUCAUGCACGUACCGGACAUAAAGCAGAGCAUGGUCGCUUGUUGCUGCAGUUUUGUGCUCCAAAGUAGCCGAAGGGAACACUAGUGUCCACGCCGGAUUUGCAACUCCACGGUCUAGCCUCACCCUGGUAUAUGUUCCUCCUGCAACUUUUUUCUCAAAGGUCCAAGGGUUGCCCAUAUAUCCAAUGUCCGAGAGCCCACACGUAUCCAAGGCGUCUCUAAAUGCAUCCAUUUGGGCCUGACUUCUAUUCCCCACUCCAUCAUGCUCAUGAGCGUACAAAACCUCAUUAAAAUCACCCAGAACUAGCCAUGGCACAUCGUCUGCGCCUACGAUACCCCUCAUCAUAUCCCAGGUCUUAUAUCGUUCAAUAACCUGUGCUUCUCCAUAAACAAAAGUCACCCUAGUUCGGACAUCAACUAGGUCAGUGAUCAAUGUAUCAAUGUGAUACUGUGAAUAACCAACAAUCUCAAGAUUUAUUUCAUCAUUCCAAAAAACUCCUAGGCCACCACUACGGCCAGAACUGCUAACAUCAUAACUCUUGUUGAAUCCUAAAGAACCAGCCAAGUUUUCAACUCUCGUUCCCUCUAUUUGAGUUUCAAGGAUACAAAGUAUAGAGGGGGCAAACUGCUUCGUCAUUUCACGAAGCUCACGAACUGUCACGGGAUUGCCAGCACCACGACAGUUCCAGCAUAGUAGACUCAUUGCACUUGGCGCGACCCCCCUUGGAGGCCCGCCACACGCGCAUCGGUUUUGUUUAGAGCUGUGUUCUUGCCAUUAACCCUAUCAUUACUUGAGGAGGAUACUUUGUUCCGCUUUGUCUCCUGUUUCGACGAUGGGCUCAACGGAUCCUCCAGGGGUGGGGGCAUUAACAGAAGCUUGCUUGCACCAUCUGCUAUGGCCGGUUUCAUAGCUGAAGUCUUCGGUUCCUGGGCCGUAGCACUUCUCUUUCUAUUCCCAUCCACCUCCUCCAUGUAGAUGUCCGAAUCAACCGAGGUGUUAUGCUGUUCUUGGCCACGUCCUCUGCCUGUUCCGCCCGCUUGGCCCCUGCCUCGGCUACCUCUAGUGUUGUUGCCCCCUUGUCCUCGUCCCUCCCCUAGGCCUCUACCUGGCCCUCUAAACCAUGCUGCCCUCAAAUCUUUGAACACUAGGGCCUUUGGGAGAUGGACACCAUCACCACACUCCUUGAAAAGGUGUCCCAAAUAGCCACAGACUGCGCACCAAUCAGGUAGACGCUGGUAUUUGACUCAAAAGAUAAGCCGCUGCACGGUGUCCUUCUUCUUUAUUACCAGAGAAACUACAUUUUUGAGGGGCUUUGUGACAUCAAUUUUAACUCGUACCCUAACAAAAUUACCCUCAAAAUCAUGCGAACUUGGCUCAGCGUAGAUGAACUCGCCGAUGGUGGAUGACAAGGCCUUGAUCUUGGAAAAGUAUCUUUCGGGGAAAUCAUGGAUCUGAAUCCAGAUGUUAACUUUAUUGAGCUCUAUCGUCGACGGCUUAGUGAAGCCAUCAUACAGCGCCAACACAACUGUCUUCCCUUUGUAAGCCCACGGUCCAUCCUCCAUCACGCGCUCCCAAUCUCCCAGACAGCCGAAUUGCAUUGUGUACAGGUUCUCCUCGAGCGGCUUGAUCUUAACUUCUUUUGCUAGGUCCCACGCCACCCUCAUGUUCCUGUAGAACCAGAAUUGGCUGUAGCUUUUCUCUGUAUGAACCCUAGCAAUGAUCAUCCAUCGGGUAGCCUCUGCUGGCAUCUCACCACAACCACGUCCUCUAGUUCAUCUUCUUUCAGCCCUAGCUCUUCCAUCAUCGCUUCUAGAUCAGAGCCGGACGCACCGGUUCCCGAUCCCGAAGCAGUUUCAUCCAUCGUGCUCUUGCCCGAGAAAGUUGUCCGCGGGCGUGGGGUUCCCAAGCUGUCCUCCCGUCCUCGCCGUGAAAACAGCCGAGAGAGAGGAGGGAAGGGGAGGCUGGUGCUCUACGGUUGCGAGAGACGAAAGAUCGCCCCCGUUACCGAGAGGAGAGAUAGCCCUCGCAAGGUCUCCACGUCGUUCGCCAAGGCGCCGUCGGGAGGAGCCGAAACCCUAACGAGAGGGGAAAACUUUCUGCUUAGACGUAAGUGGAACCAGCAGGGGUGCGUUUGAUAGCCUCAAUCACCCCCAAAUAGGCCCACUGGAGUACAAUAAAGACCCGGGCCUGGAUCACAUGCGCUUGAACCUUAAAAGAGCCCAUAGCUUGGCUGGCUAGGAACGCUCGAAUCGAAGCGUUGCCUAGAUUUGGCGCACAGUGUUGCGAGCCUCUUUCAGCUAGUGACCAAUAGAUAGCCAGCCUGUACUUUCUUGCCGGCACAUCGAAACUUGUAGCUAACUACGCGGUGGUACAUACUGUGCAUCGAUGGAUGCAGGGGCCGAAAGAGAAAUAAUAAAUGAUUUAUUGUCAUAAAAAGUUACAGGCAGAUUCACCAAGAGGGAAUGGACAUUGUUAAAAAGUGAUUUUGCUUGCAUUGACUUGAGUAUAUGCAUAACACCAUGAAAAAGGCCUGAAGUUGGUUAGCACCACAAGUUGAUGUACAUUAUUCAAGACUAGGGGGAGGGGGUGGUGUGGGGGACGAGAUCACGUUUGAUGACAUACAAACACCGACUCCCUUUAACAAUAGAGAUACAUAACACCAUGGUUACAGGCAGUAGUACUAUUUCUGAUUAAUCAAUGAUCAAUCAGUUGCUGAUGACUUGUACAGUCCAUAGUAUCACCUACUUUAGUUUUCUUCUUCUUUGUAACUCUCUCAAAGUAUCACCUACGUCAGUCCUAGUAGUUAAUUAAUCAAUUGACAUGCAUGAUUCGAGGAUGUUAUUCGCCAGCUGAUCCUUUCCUAAUCCAGACAAAUUUCCGAGGCUGGCCGAUGCAUAGCUAGUUAGUAUGUUAGUAUAGUACAUGUGUGAACUCAAUAGUGCUAACUUGGUUUUGUGAAGGUUGAUUAAUACCCAAUUGACUGAGAGAGCAUAUAAGAUGGAGCAGAUGCUCUCUAGUGUACGCAUGUACAUACGAAAGCAGUGACAUGUGAAACCUGGACCUCUGUCAAUGGUGGUGAUCACUGCCAUACUUGUCACCGAAUAUGCAUCUUAAAAAACGAUGGUCCAAAGGCCAAAGGUAUAAUGAUACUCUAUGUGUCAGUGGCGCGAUGCCACACGCGAGUAAUGACAUAAGAGCAUCUUAGCAGACCACACAUCCCGCCGACCCGCAAAACGCGUUUGCAGUUCGCGAAAAAACGGUUUUGCGGCCGGCGCGAACGGCCGCAGAGGCAGACCCUGCAAAGCCGACAUGUAUCCUCUUUUAUGGAUCGGCUUUGCGGGGUCUGCCUCUGCGGCCGUUUCCUCCGACCCAUAAAACAUCAAUUUGCACCUCAAUUAGUAUUUCUUUGCAUUUUCAACCACAUUGGAUACAUAGGACAUCACCAAAUCUUUGCUACAAUAGCAAGACCAAAGAAAACAAAGAACCACAAUUAUGCAUUUUAGAAGAUUUCCAACUUUCAUAACUGCUCCUACUGGUUGAAGCAAUAUCUUCUCCAUGCACUCAUUGUUGAUCUGCGGAUUCUUGAUCCUGCAUUCUUCAUUCUUCUUCUUUGGUUCUAAAGAAGUAGACGUUGCUUCCCCUCUAGUUGCACAUGCAUGCGCUUCAUUGCCUUCGAUUGUACUAAGGAGUGCACAAACGUCUAUCAAUUUUCUUUCUAUCAAUAAAUCAAUAUAUUCGCCUUCCCAAAACCAAAAUGAGCAUCCAUCUUCCUACACGCAUGAUGAUGUUCGAAAUGAGCUAACAUAAUGAGCUAUCAAAAUGAGCCGAAUGAAAACAGCAUGUACCCCGUCAUUUUCGCAUUUGAAGAAGACCCAUCCUGGGUGCUUCGGCGUGCCCGAAGUCAGUUGUAGCACUGUCCGCGUGCAGUCGUCGCACUGUAUGAGCGGCAUUGGCGAGCCACAGAGCCUUUGCGCGAGGGACGAGCCCGGCGGCCGGCCGGUCGAAUCCAUGCCGGCAAACCGUUGGCGGCGGCGAGAGGACGAACCAGCACCUGCAUGCGGCGAUGUGCCUUUGUCGGGGCUGCGCGAGGUGCUCCCCGACCAUUCCAUCGCUUGGCGGAACCGCCGGCGGCCGAGAAGGCUAAAUCUGGCCGUCCGCGAUGAAGGGCCGCAGAUCCACAAGUUUCUGGCCCACCGACGCAGGAGGAGGGGGAGGGGGAGGGCAACCUCGUGCGUGUGGCGGCCUUUCGGCGUGCUCCCGCCGGCUACUUUCGCCAGAAUCUUGGGCGGCGGCGGGGCGAGGGAAGAGGGGAGGUGGGGUGUGGGGAAAAGCGCGGGCUGAAACGUCCUCCCCACCAACCGCUCCCGCUAUAUGCAGGGCACCAACGGGCCGAGGGGGGGGGGCGCGUAUUCGCAGGUUGGUAAAGUUUUGCCGCGCCCCUCAAAAACUUUUGCCGGCCCGGCCGCGUUUGCGGGAUCUGUUCGGGCAGGAUUUUCCGUGUCGACCCGCAUUUUGGCGGUUAUUUUACGGAUCGGGUCCUUUUAUGGAGUCUGCUAGAGUUGCUCUAAACGUAGGUGGAACGAGCAGACGUGUAUUGCUCGUGCAUGCAGGUGCCACUUUGAAAGCAAGCUACAUCUCACCGGAAUAUAAAAGGGAAAUACGAAAAGGAAGGUGGCUAGGUCAACAAUUAUUACCCAGUCCUCUUCUACUGGAGACACUCCAGAUGACGUCAAGGCAGAGCUACAGUGCUGAAUUUGAACCCGGCUGUUUGAUUCCCUGACACCCACCAUCCAUAUAUGCAAAACAGCGAGCCAAGUGUCGAGCUAAACGCUAAACCAGUCCCAAAAAUGUCAAAACAAAUUAUGCAAAUACAUAUGCAUAGUCAUCAAGUAUGUAUAAAGUUUCAUCAACUAAUUUGACUAUUUGCAUUCUACACAAAAAAGACAAAUACCAGUCCCAAAAACAAAAAAGAAAAGGCCUACUUUACUUUAUGUAUUUGUCUUUUUGUGUACAUCACAUAUGAACAUAUAUGUUUAUAAAAUUUUAUACAAGUAUACUACAAACAUAUGUGCAUACUUUUUUUCAGAUUUUUUUGAGAUCUGAAAAAGUAUUUUCAUUGAAAGAAAAAUAAAGAGCUCUAUGGUGCUCGGGUGCUGCUUGCACUUUUCGUGAUGUUAUGCCAUAUUAGGACAAACCAUGAGCAAAGGCCAACGUAGUAAGCAAAGAUGCAUAUGCAAUGUGCAUUAGUGUCCCCAUCAAAUGUCAAGGGGCAAUGUAGUUAUGCAAGACACAGUCGUUUUGUCUUUUGACAAAAACAAACUUUACAACUAGAACAAUAUUGUAGCAGUCCCAUGCUGAAACAUGCCAACUAGAACAAUAUUGUAUGCGCCAGUUCUGUUUGGCAUGUAGGUCACUAGUUAGCGACUUGGCGCAUACCCCCUCCCCACCCCUUCCCGCGGGUAGCUUCCAGGCUACGCAUAAUUUGAGACAACCCAACUAUUUUGGUAUUUUUCUUUCAGUUUUUUAAAUUUUAUUCUUUAUUUUCUACUUUGCCUUUCUUUUUCCGUUUCUAUUUUUCUGUUCUUUUUUCCAUGUUUCUUUUACAUUAUUAAUUAUUUUCCUCAAUGUUUUUCCUUAUCAUUUUACCAAAAUCUUUUCCAGUUCUGAAACAUCUUUUUGAAAUCUGGAACCUUUUAAAAAACGAACAUUUAUUGCAUGCCUGAACAUAUUUAUGACAAUUUGAAUUUCUUGAAACACUUAAACAUUUGUGCGGUGAAGAAUCGAUGAUUAUUUUUCCGAAUUGGGGAUAGAUUUUUGCAAUUCAAGAACAUUUUUAUUCUUUGAAAAAACAUAUUUUUUCAAAUGAAUGAACAUUUUUGGAAUGCAUUAUUAAUUAAAUUUCUUGAAACACUGUUUUAAUUCAUACAUAUUUUUUAUAUAUUUUAUAAAACAUUUAUGACCAUUUUUCUGAAUUUGUAACCAUUUGUUCACAUUCAUGAUUCUUUUAAUAGACCAAAGUUUUUUUCAAAACUAUGAGCAUUUUUUGAUUUCGCUUAUUUUGUUUCAAAAUCAUGAAUUUUUAAUAUUUGAAUGUAUUUGAGAUCAUGGACAAUUUCUUGAAUUGACGAAAAUUAUGAUUUUUUUAAUAAUUGAUAUCUUUAAUAAAUUUCAGAAUUUGAAAAUACUUGAGACUUUAUGAAAUCUUGAAUUAUUUAGAGAUGGGAAAACAACAAAAUAAAAAGUAAUAGAAAAACAAAAACAGAAAAAAGGAAAAGAAAACUAUAGGGCCCACAUGUGCGCUCGCAGGGUGCUGGGGGUGGGCAUGGGAAGAGAGUGAGCGUUGGUUGGUUUACAUCCUUGCUUCUUCCGUUUUUUCCUGUUUUUCCUUUUCGUUUUGUUUUUCGGGUUUCUCUGUUUAGUCAUUGCUUUUCUUGAGUUUUUUGUUUUUUUAGUCAUAGGGUAGAAAAAAUAGGAAUAGGAAAGUCAUAGAAAACGAGAUAACACGUAUCUCCAAAUCCUAUGAAUAGGAAUAAGAAAGGAGAUGUCGUUUGGUUCACAUUAUAGAAUAUUUUCCAUCAAGUCUGCACUAAUGUUUAUUUUUUUUAGGAAAUGUGGAGGGUAGAAAGAAUUCCUCCAUAGGGAUAUGAUACUAUUCAUACAUACCAAAGGGAAGGAUUAUUUUUCCUAUAGAAAUCGUAUACUAUCGAAUUUCUCUAAGAUCCCUCCAAACAAAAGGAGGCCUAAGAUGGGCUUUUUGCCGAAACAGGUUUUCCGGGUGGCUCUAAAGGUUGAUUUCCCAGCCCGGUCAACAUAUUUCCUAGGCAGUUCUGCGUCUCGCCCAUAGCGAGACUUAUCAUGCACUCGCAUCAGGCAUCUCUCUAAAUGGGCAAGCAUAGCGUGGGAGGCCACAGGCCAGACCUUUUUUUUCAUGUUUUUGCUUUCCUUUUCUUUUUUUAUGUUUCAGAAUAUUUUAAAUAUAUAGUUUGCAUAAACUUUCAAAAUACGCUAAUAAAUAAUUUGAAAUUUGUAAAAUGUGUAUAGACAAAAUGUUUCUUAUCUGUACGAAAGAUUUAUACAACAAAUAUUUUAUCUCAAUGAAAAAAGUUAAUCAUGUAUUUAAAAAAUGUUCAUCAAGCAAUUGAUAAAUAUUAGCCAAGCAUUUGAAAAUUGUAAACUGUGUAUAGAAAAAAAUGUUUGCCAUGUAUACCAAACAAAAUAAUAUGUAUGGAAAAUGUUGAUCAUGUAUUUUAAAAGAAUGAAAUGUGUAUAAAAAUAUGUUCCUGAUGUAUAGAACAUAUACUAAAUAAAAGUAGAUAUCAAAAUACAUAUAUUGGAAAAUAGUUAAUUUGGUAUUUGAAAAUUGUUAAACAUGUAUAUAAAAAGGUUGCUAUUGUAUCGGAAAAAUGCUUAUUACCAUUAAGAAUGGUCACCGUGUAUUUGAUAAAUGCAAGGUUGGAAAAAGUGGUAGGCGCAAGCAAGGCGGUUGGCCUUUGCCUAGUGCCUAGGCAGUGCUUAAGCGUCCUAGACACAACCUAGGCAGUUAUAUAAUUUUUACUAUCAGGGUGUAUAUGUGGUUAUUAUAUGUGUAUUUUAUUAAUUCAGGGCAUAUAAGUAUGUUCUACCAGCUACUACGAUUGGAAUAUGGCCCUUUUGACAUAUCAGUACAAUAUGGCAUGAUUUCUUGCUUGGGUAGACAAUUUCUUACUUGCUCUGCCUAGACAUAUGCUUCUGCCCUAGGCGAAGCGUUUGGCCAUUGCCUAGCGCCUAGGCAUGCCUAAGCGCCUCCUAGGCACUGCCUUUUCCAACAGAGGAUAAAUGUUGACCAUGCAUUCAAACGCUUAUUAAAAAAAUCAGAUACAUAUACAAAAAAUGUACAAUGUGUAUGAAAAAAAAGUAGGAACAAACAUUAUAAGUUUUGAAAAAUGUUUAAAAUAUGAAACAUAUGCAUAAAUAUAUUUUAGAUGUAUAGGACAAAUAUUGAAUGUAUAAAUCGAAAAGUUGACUUGUGUUGAACAAAAAAUAAACAGAUUAAAACCAAUCCAAAAAUAGAGAAAGAAAACAAGAAAUGAAAAACAAACCACCAAAACCCAAUGCAUUAUUGAUUUAAUUAAAUAUCUUGUUGACCGGCUCACGGGAAAUUUAAUUUAAUUAAUAAUGCAUUGGGUAUUAUUGGUCUAUAUUUUCAUUUCUUGUUUUCUUUCUCUAUUUUUGGAUUGGUUUUAAUCUGUUUAUUUUUUGUUCAACACAUUUCAACAUUUUGAUUUACACAUUCAACAUUUUUCCUAUACAUCUAAAAUAUAUUUCGGCACAUGUUUAUAUUUUUAACAUUUUUCAAAACUUAUAAUGUUAGUUUCUACUUUUUUCCAUACACAUUGUACAUUGCGUUGUAUAUGUAUCUGAUUUUUUUAAUAAGCAUUUGAAUGCGUGGUUAACAUUUAUCAAAUACACGGUGUUCAUUCUUAAUGGUAAUAAGCAUUUUUCCGAUACAACUGUAACCUUUUUAUAUACAUGUUUAACAAUUUUCAAAUACCAAAUUAACUAUUUUCCAAUAUAUGUCUUUUGGUAUCUACUUUUAAUUAGUGUAUGUUCUAUACAUUAGGAACAUAUUUUUAUACACAUUUAGUUCCUUUAAAAUACAUGAUCAACAUUUUUCAUACAUAUUAUUUUGUUUUGUAUACAUGGCAAACAGUUUUUUCUAUAGACAGUUUACAAUUUUCAAAUGCCUGGUUAAUAUUUAUCAACUGCAUGAUGAACAUUUUUUAAAUAUACGAUUAACAUUUUUCAUUGAGAUUGAAUAUUUGUUGUAUAAAUCUUCCGUACAGAUAAGAAACAUUUUGUCUAUACAGAUUUUACAAUUUUCAAAUUGUUUAUUAGUGUUGUUUGAAAGUUUAUGCAAACUAUAUAUUUCAAAUAUUCUAAUGCAUAAAAAAAGAAAAGAAAAGCAAAAACAUGAAAAAAAAGGUCUGGUCUGUGGCCUCCCACGCUAUGCUUGCCCAUUUAGAGAGAUGCCUGAUGCGAGUGCAUGAUAGGUUUCGUUAUGGGCGAGACGCAGAACUGCCUAGGAAAUAUGUUGACCGGGCUGGGAAAUCAACUACUAGAGCCACCCGGAAAACCUGUUUCAGCAAAAAGCCCAUCUUAGGCCUCCUUUUGUUUGGAGGAAUCUUAGAGAAAUUUGAUAGUAUAGGAUUUCUGUAGGAAAAAUAAUCCUUCCCUUUGGUGUGUAUGAAUAUCCCUAUGGAGGAAUUCUUUCUAUCCUCCACAUUUCCUACAAAAAUAAACAUUAGCGCAGACUUAACGGAAAAAAAUACUAUAAUGUGAACCAAACGACAUCUCCUUCCUUACUCCUAUUCAUAGGAUUUGGAUAUAUGUGUUAUCUCGUUUUCUAUGACUUUCCUAUUCCUAUUAUUUUUCUCUACUUUUUUAGUCAUCGCAUUAUUCCUAUUAUUUUUCUACCCUAUUAUAAUUUUUAUAAUCGGCUUCGUCAUCCUCGUCAAUUAGGUAGUCAUCAUCUCAGAUUGGCCACCAUCCUAUCAGUUUUGCCUAAUCUUCCAUGCCUCUCAAGUGUUGUCUGAAUCUCAAAAUUUAGCAGGAUGAUUUUCACCCAAAACUUUGAGAUUUUGAUAGCUGCUGCUUCCGUCAAACUCGUCCUCUACAUUAGCUCUUGUCCAUUGUUUUCCACAUCAGCGAGUUCAUUGGAUUUUACCUUUUCUUUUGUACUACAUCCGUCACUUUUAGGUCCUCCGAAUAAAGGCUGCAAUUUUCGUGAUUGGUCCUAUUUUACAGAUUAAGAAUUGAAAUCUUAUGUCGAUAUGACGAAACGUUGAGUUCCUAACAAUCCCCCUUAAAUUUCAUGUGUUUGUAUUAUAUUCUAGUAUGUGUAACAUGCACAAUGAUUUGCCCUUGGGUUACUAAUCCGCUUUCUAUAAUUGCGUAUAAACUCCAAGGAAGGUGUUUCAUCUAUUCCAGUAACUUUUCAUGAUACAUAUAAUUGUUGUUCGAAUUGCAGACAUGCAAAUGAAAUUAAGCAAGUUGAUGCUCUUUUGUGGUACAUGUUUUGGAGAUGGCUCCGCGCCUCCACCGCCUUCAGCACACUGCUUCUGGUCUUGCAGUGCUUCUCGACUAAAAGGUGAGCAUGCUUCCAUCCUAUCAAAACCGAUGUCGUGAGGUCUGCAGACCACCCCUGCAUGAGACUCUUUGAAUUUUGUUUCUUCAUGUGUACUAACUGAUUCCUUAUCUUCAUCUCGGUCAUAUUUGCAUGUAUUAACGUUACUUUGCAGUCGAAGGAGUGAUCAACAGAACAUCGUUAUGCUAAGAAAAUCUUUGCUAUUAUGUGCUUCAGUCAGAUAAACUACAUGUUUCUUGAGAGAAUUCGAUGUUUCCACAUUGUUCCAUCCAUGGCCAAUUAGUUAGUUGCAAGUAUUUCUAAAUUUCAAAUAUGCUUUUAAAAAGUGUAGCAGAUCAUAUGUGGAACGUUGGUUAUCGCAUCAGUUGGUGACUUCCUUAUAGUGUGUGUGGCAUAUACCGAGAAACAUGCACAACUUCAUUUAUGCAAUAUGUUUUUCUGAGAUCCCUCUGCCCCAUUCUUCAUCAGGGCUUUGUUUCCCCUUCCCUGUUACACUUUAGAUUUGACUUUUGUAGUGUUGCUCCCCUUCUUAUACUAUUAUUUAUUUAACUUUUUGUGCAAUUUGCUAUAUCAUCAACUUUGAUUGCACUAAAAGUUUCUCUCCAUGCAUGCUAAUAAGAUGGUGUCACAUUCUAUGUUUGCGGAGUGAUCUUUUUAUUUUGCAGGCAAAUAGAAAUGAGUUUCAGAGAUAGCCCUCAAAAUAGAAAUGAGUUUCAGAGAUAAAGGUUGAGCUUUGAGGAAACAAACCUUGACAAGGUGCAUGAAUAUUUUGGAAAGUCUAAUUUAACUUUAAUUUUCAAUCCGAUCUUGAGCAUCUCCAUAACUUCUGCUUACCACUUUGAGACUAUUUUUCUGAUUCCAGUGAAGUCUAUUUAACCGUUUGUUACUGACCAUUAUUGAAUUUACACCAUAACUUCAGUGUUUCUGUGAUUCGAUUUGUUAGAUAGAGGUAAAAACUUGGCAUGAGUCAUUAGCUAUCUAAAAAACAGAUAAAAAGAGAAGUUGUUGUGUACUAAUUUAUUAGGUUUAGUUACAUAAGAUAGAUCAUUUAUCGCAACUUAAUCACACUUAAUAGUUCACCCUAUAUAUUUUUUCUGUCCAAUUGGCCAAUGAAGAUUAAUGUUUCAUUCCCUUAGUGAAAACCUAAGUAGUUGUACCCUUCUUGGAUACUACCACGGGAAGGGCUCAUUGUAAUAAAUCAAGUUGUAUAUCACUUUUGGAUUAAUCUAUGUAUGAAUUGCUUCCUGAUCAAAAUAGUAUUUAAUAAAAUUACAGGUUAUGCUUUUGUGAAUUGUACUUGCAUUGUUUUUUCUACUUGAUAUCCUACUAGAACUUCCAUUGCUUGCUUAAGUUUUGUGUCAGAUAGUUGGAAGGAAGCAGCUUUGAUCUUGAAAAUUUUGAUAAGGUUUCAUGUACAUUUGAUACGGUUGAUGUUACAUGACCUAGCCAUGAUACAACAACAAGAUGAUUUGAUGUAAAAUCAAGCGGAGCAUUAGUUUUUCUUUCUUUCCCAUAAGUUCUUCUCAUGGUCUCAUCCAUUAUUGCUGCCCCUUGUCUCUCCUGAUGGCAGCUGUAAGGGCGAAAGUGCUAUUCUGUGCCCGAGCACAGUUGCACUCGAUAUCCAUCCCGUCGCUCUCCCUCGAGAUUCCUGAAGCACUUCGUAUAGGCCCAGGUAUAUUCCUUGUACUUAUAUUUUUCGUGCAAGGCCGAUGGCCCACGGCUGACUACCAGACGCCUUCACGCCGUAAGCCCCCCUCCACAGCGGCUCUGGUUUGGAUAUACGAGAUGGGCCGUUGAGCGACAGAUUCUAGACUAACGCAAUCACAUCUUCCAUUUAUUAUCCCUCAAAAAAUAAUCUCUCCCAUUUAUUGUGUUCCACACCGUUGGAGGUAAUACCAACCAAUCUUAUCCUCCACGAUUCAUUUGGGCCCCACUCGAUAAAUCCAUGUGAGACCAAAUUAGUUCUUCAUCUGUAAUCCAUCCCAAGAACCAGACCGUCGCUCAGCAGCUCCUGGCUCGUGGUCUCCAUAUCAUUCUUCCAUCGGCGGGAAAUCCGGCAUCUCCCCUUCUGCGCAAACGACUACCACAUUUGCUGCUACAUCUGCGGACGCAUGAUCUGUGGCCUGCAAAAGAAAAAAACAUCCUCUCGAGAUUAAUCCAGGCACGCCUACACGAUCGAUCUACCUACAUGGUCGAGCGCAGCUGAAACACCGGAGGACGAACUGAACUCAAUUUCUGAUCCCACCCCUUGGUCACACUAGCUUGUUUCUGAACUAUCAUGACCGUGCAUGACGGCCAAUAUUGUCUACUGAAGGACGGUUCACAUACAGUUCAAACUAGCAAUGACAUAUCACAAGAAGUACCUCUGCUGUCAAUAGAUCUUGCUUCGAACUUGCAUCCGAAUCUGAUUCUGCGAUAGCCGAUGCAGAGCUGGGUAGCACGGAAGGAGCCAUUGUGCUGCUCUUUGCAACACCUUCGGACCAGUCUUCAGUUUUCCUAUCACUACACUAGGCAGUGGAUUAAUGGAGAACAGAUACAGCUUAGCCAUGACUCUGCGGCAAUAUAUGUAUACAACCUGAGUUUCUUCUGCUCUAGUCGUUCGAAUUGGAUACAGUUGUCAGCAGUUCUACUUCCAAGCCAACUAGCAUUUAAUAUUAUUGUCCAUUCAGCAAGCAAUAUUAAACAUGUGUCAAUUCAUACAACAUGCUCUGCAUUCCUAGAUUCAGUCAGGCGAGCUGUCAAGCUCCCCAACGCUUCACUCACCAUCAAAUAUAGCAAGUCGUAUGUAUUUAAAUUUUGGUUCUUGUGUUAUUAAACGAAGUGUUCCACAUAAUCUAAUCUCAUUGAAAUAUAUUGCAAUCGAUUCCGUGGCAACACUCGUAGUAUCAUCUAAUUUUGAAAAAACAGGGUACCAAAUAUUCAGGAUCUGGGUUUCCAGGUAGCUUUUGUCAGCAACAAAUAAUCUGUAAUGUGGCCACCACAUGAAUUGUGGUCACCACAUAUUAUGCCCUAAGGUAAUCCUGACAGCUGACACUGCAUGUUAUCACAAUACUGAAGCACAACGAACUAAAAAGAAUAUACAGACCAAUUUACUGAACAUUCACACUGCAUGUUAUCACACAAUAUUCCAUCUACAGCUUAUCAAAUCAGCACCAAAGUACAAACACAUGUCUAAACCAAAUUACUGAACUUCCACUGCAUCUACUCGGCGAUGCCACUUUUGUAUGCGUUAUGUUUGUUGCUACUAAAUUUUCAUACUGUCGUCAGCGAUUUACAAGACUGAAUUUCUCAUACAAGACAAAGAAUGCGUUCAGAUUUGUUUUGUGUACUUCAGCACAUAAUCUACCAAGCAGGACUAACUAUGCCAUGUACUGUACACAAAAAUUGCAUUCUUCUAUCUGGAAUACUCAGCAGCUCCCAAUUUCCACUAUUUGUAAUUGCACCAUUAUACAGAUUGUUUUUCCAUAAGCAUAAUCAAAGAACCACAUGGCUCAUUCACAACUCUAACUGAGCAAAAGACCAGGUAAUCCACAUACCAAAAUUAGCGUGCUCCAAAUCCAAUAGGUUGCCUGCGCGUCCAUGCAGGAGAUUUCGAGUAACCCUGACCAAUGGAUUGCUCAGAUGCUUGCGGUCCCCCGUCGAGUUCACCACCAGCCGCCCCUUCUGCGGCAUAGAAACUACGGAACUGAUAUAUUAAAUUCAGAGUUUAAUGUAGUUAGGAUUCACACCAAUUCAUAUCAAACCAUGGAUUACCAGCAGAAAAAACAGAAACAAAAAUGCAUUACCGUACACAACCUGAAAAUUGGAUACUUAAUUUUUUUUUCAUAGCAGCUGUAAACAGGCAUCCUUCCACAGUAAUCCACAUCACACCAUGGAUUACUACGGGACUGAUAGAUUAAAUUAAUAGUACAAACCAACCAGCAAUCACACUAAUUCAUAUCACACCAUCGAUUUCUACCGGCAAAAGAAUCAAGCAAGAAGGCAAGACCAUAGAUAGCCUGAAAUUCUUCAUAGCACUGUUCAAAUUUAAAUUAUAUUCCCCUCACCCCUUAUUCCAGCCAGGAGCCUGGGGAUUCAUCUUCCCUGUCGACAGCUCCGACGUCGGAGGCUAGCUGUCCCUUCUUACUGCUGCCGCUUGAACCGCGCUGCAGAUUCGGCCUUCGCCGCUAAUUGCCGCCGCUCCUGACGCACCGCAGAUCCGCCCGUCGCCGCUCGAACCCAUUCGCCUCGUACCAUCCGCCAGCGAACCUUCCGGCACUAGACUCUCUCCGACCUCCUCAAUCAUAGUGGAUCUGUGGCAGAGAAAGCAACGAGACUCAGCCGCCUCAGCUACACACUUCAAAUCGCUUGAUAAGCUGAGUAAAAUCGCAUCGGAGUGGCAUACCUGCGGAUUGGCUGCGUGAGGAACUCCAUGGCGCGCCUGUCGCUUGUUCUUCCCCUCUCUCCCUCUAUCGCUCUUCACGGCAAUGGCUGCGGCGCUGGGUAGACGACACAGGGCUUGCAUUCAAGCCGCGCCUGCCGUCCUCGGACGGCAAGCAAAACCUCUGAGCCACGGAUCAGACAGACUUCCCCGAUUCUGGUCCACGGCUCGGUCCGUCGCAGGUGGACGGCCGUCGCUCUAGUGGCCCACUGCCCAGGCCUGAAACAUACGUAUUCUCCUACGCCACCCAUUUUCCCGAAGUGCUAACCGCAGUGUAUAAAGAAUUGACGCACAUCCCCACGCAUACACGAACGCGCGUGAUAUCGAGCACAUAUGAGCUCGCGAGCAGUUGUAAGGGACACUUUUGUCCUAAAAAACUCACCGCCCCAAUUAUUACUUAUGUCUGCAUGUACUUCAUUUGACAACAUCAGGUCACCUCUGCAUUUUAACUAGGAACGACAUGUUCUACAUCUUGGAAAGAAUCUUUGUUUGUGCGCUCUACUAAUUGUUGGAACAAUAUAACACGUACACCUCAUAUCAUGUUUCUAAUGUAUGAAAUUUGUAAUUUCUAAGGAUGGUUGUGUAUUUUUUUCUGUGCGUUAUAUGAAGAAACAUUUCCGUACUUCGUAAUUUGUAAGUGAUUCUUAAAGUUUGAACUCAUCCGUCUUCUGUAUUUGAUUAUUUUACGGAAUUAUUCCAAAUAAUUUUUGUGCCCACUCUUCCUAUCUAUUUCGACUCUUAACUUCUAUGGUCCCCUAGCAUCACAUUAUUUCUGAUCAAAUUUAUUAAAUUCCGUUCUUAGGUGACCAACAAACAUAUGGGUAAAUUUAUUAAGUUUCGUUCUAUGGUGACCAAAAAACAUGAGGGGGUUUGGGUGGCCACGGCGCUUGGCUGGGUUUGCGAACGUAGUUACCCUGGCCUAGAGUGUGCUUGGCCCGCUUCACAGGAAAUCGGCGAAGUCAUUCUGCAGAGUGGCCUAGUUUACGUUCGGUAGCUCUGUCUCUCGGUAAAAAUUGGGCAGGGAUGGAUGCAGAGGUGAUCCAGGCCGUGCAUGCCCAAUCGGACGGGUAGGAGGUGGAGAUUGCUCCCUACAUCUUACUUACUGUUUUGUAAUUUAUUAACUUUUUUGUGUGAGUAGUACUCCCUCCAUUUCUUUAUAUAAGGUGUAUUUGUUUUUUGACAAAAUUCCACAUUGUAAGGUGCAUUGCUUGUAAAUCUUUAUAAUUCCUUUUAUACCCCUCCAGAAAGAGGAAGUAUCUAUCUCCUGAUUUUCUGUAUCUCUCCUUGUAUCAAAACAAGAAAAGUAUCUCUCUCUUGAUUGCUUGUAUCUCUUAUUUUCCUCGAUUCACUUAUUACUUGCGACUAACCAACAAAUUUGCCAAGGGUAAUUUUGUCCUAACAUGUCCAUAAUUAUGCGCCUUGGUCAUCAUGCCAAACGGAGGGAGUAUUUAUUAAAUUCCAUCCUCACAUCACACGAUGCUAAUUAUAGAUAGCUCCUAGCUACCAUCCUUCUUGCCGGCCAAGAAGAGAUUUAUCAAGGCUUUGCUGAGGAUUGCCAGCUUCUCUAGUAUUUCAUUUGCCAUAGCCAUCGUCCCCGCCACCGACGUGCUGCAGACCUCGGCAGUGCAGUCCUUGAUGUUGUUGGUCGUCUUAACUUAUUUUGGAAAUCUUUAAAUGGACAUUGUGUAUGUACUUUUCACGGAUUAUUUCCUUCCAAACAUAGUGGGGGGGGGGGGUAGGGUAAAGUGUUGUCUUGUUUAGAGGGGAUUGCGAGGUAAAAUGGUUCUCAAAGCUACAUGAGGAUGAUAUGUCACUACAUUGGUAACUAGGGUGACAAUUUAGAGCACACUACACCGUUUAAUGCCUCAAAUGAACUGCGGGUUCGAAAAGGGGGCAUAAACUAUAAAGGUGGACCUAUAAUACACAAAUGGAAUCAAUCCUGGAGCAGCCUGGCGGCAAUGUUCGAUGUGGAGUGGGGCGAAUAGAUGAGGCUGGGAGGGGAUCUUAAAGGGCAUGGCCACAGAGCUGGGCGUGCACUGGGGCACUGGGAACGUGCGACAUGCACUUGGGUUGUGAUGAGAUUGUGGGCUUGGUGAUCUUGGCUAGAGAUUGACGAAGGCGGUCCCACCUAGCAGUGAAGGAGAGCGAGAAGAGAGAGGUCUGCGGGCAGCACGCUAGCCAUCUGAUGCUAAUCCGGCGGCUUCGAUAAAACGACAUGUACUGCUUCGACGACUGGGUUGAUGGGCUGCACGCUGCUGUUGGGUUGGGCCUGCUGCGCUAGCUCGCCUGGCUGGCUGGUCCUGGUCUUUUUCUUUUUUGUUUAUAUUUUUAUGUUUCUCUUCCCAUUUCUGUGCGAAUUUCAAAUUAGUUUCAACAUCAAACUUGCUCCAAUUUUAUUUUGGGGUAUUACCAGAAGUUUAAACAUUUAUUUACGAUUUAUUGAAAUAAUUUUCCCACCAUAAUAAAUGAUAAGCCCUUUGUAUUAAUUCUCACUUGAUUCAUUCUCAUUUUUCAAAUUGGGCUUCUUUUGUUAUUCGAGUUUCAUGGAAUCUGUAUUAUCCCGCCCAUUUGAAAUAUUUGGUUUGUUUGUUCAUUUUUGGGGAUUUAUUUUAGGUCCCAUUUUCCCUUUUGGUUCCGUUUAAUCUUUACGUGACUUCAAGGUUUUGAAUAUUUGGGGCUUACAUAAUUUUAUUUCCAACCCAAAACAAUUCACACAAGGUUACUCAUAUUUGUGUGGAUCAACUUUUGGGUUUUAUAAAUAAUCCCCAAAUGACAAUUGUAGUUGUUGUAAUUGCCAAAGUUUUAUUUGAGCCACAUUUUCAAACAAUUCAACGACUCCUAAAAAAUUUAGCUAAGAGCAACAAAUCACACGCAUUUUAGGAAAUUUUAAUUCCCUGUAAUUUUUAUUCUUAGCAUUCCAAGUUUGAAACUAAAUGGUUGCACCUUGAGGAACUAUUUGUAAGUUUGGUUCUAGAGAUGUACAACUUGAAAGUUGCACAACAAAAAAACCGUGUGCAACCAUUGAAUUGCUGAGAGUCAAUUAGAUCGAUUCUAAAUGUAGCACAGAGAUAGAUAGAAAAUCGGUUAUACAAAAGGAUAUCUACAACACACCAAUGCAAAUAAGAAGUAUUAAUGUGCACCAAAGGAGAUUUAUACAAAAGGAGAUCCAAAAUGAACACCCACAUAUCUGUGUGCCCAAUUAGUAGGAAGUAUUAAUGUGAGGAGCUCCAAAAUGAAGACCCGCAUAUCUGUGUGCACGCAUUCUAUGGGCUCUAACUAUUUGGAAAUCCGAAUCAAGACUUAUUGCAUUAAUGAACAUAUGGGAACUUUUAUGUGUGUUAAUACGGGGAGGAUCUAAAAUAAGCAUCCAUAUAUUUGUGAAUAUAGAGGGCACUAAUACAAGAUCCAAAACGAGGAUCAACAUAUUUGUAUAGCUAGCACUAUUAAUUCGUAUAUCUAUGGCUAAGCAGCACACUGCAUUUCUGAACCGCCACUGAUUUGUAUAUAAAAAUCUCAACCCACGCACAUCGCUUCAUCAAUCCAUCUCUUCCCUACUCAUCAUUCUAUAUCCAUUUAUCUCCACCUUCCCCAGCUUCAAUACAUUUCAAGACUUCCAACUAGCCUUAUAGCAAUGACAACAAUGUCGGCGACCUCCAUCCUCUUCUCUGCCAUCGCUAUUAUGCUCCUUUCCAAUACCCUCGCCGCCAAAUCCAGUGCCUCCGGGGGUGUCAAACCCAAGGUGACCAACUUCAUUUUGGAAGCAUGCAAGAAUGCCUCAAUGAAAAACCAAAUAUACGACCCCAACCCAAUCACGCAUGAGUUUUGUGUGUCGACCCUCAAGUUGGACAAUCGAAGCGCCGAGGCUAAAGAUAUCCAUAGCCUGGUACACGUCGCCAUCGACAUACUCAAGGGCCAAGUUGCCACGGCCAAUGACAAUGUCAAACAAAUGCUGCACGGCACCAAGAAUGGCACGGCUACAAUGCGUGCCCUCAGUUUCUGCAUGGUGGACUACAACCGCAUGGUGAGCAUCCUCAACAUAUGUGACACAAUGAUAAAGGAGUACCAUGGUCGCAAGGGCAGAGCCGAUGAUGGGUUGAUGUCUUCUGAGCUGCCUUCCUGUGUGGAGAAAGUUGACAAACCUUUCAUCGACUGUUGGUUGGGCCUUCUUGCUAUGGAGGCGAAAAAGUUGUUAGAUGAAAAUUUUGCGGUGGGCAUGUUGGUCAAACUUAACUUUUGCCUUGCUAGCACCAUAUAGGGCCAAUGAUUCAUAAUUUGUUUUUUCUACAUGAAAUGGUGUUGUUGUAACAUCUAUUUACCUUCACUUGGAAUAA
RNAcentral lists this long non-coding RNA (47422 nucleotides) under Triticum aestivum (bread wheat). RNAcentral describes it as "long non-coding RNA (TAES_LNC002517)". The record is from RNAcentral. Lineage: Eukaryota; Viridiplantae; Streptophyta; Magnoliopsida; Poales; Poaceae.